Molecule: long non-coding RNA, 70690 nt
Filed under: Vitis vinifera (wine grape)
Lineage: Eukaryota; Viridiplantae; Streptophyta; Magnoliopsida; Vitales; Vitaceae
Description: long non-coding RNA (VVIN_LNC002527)
Source: RNAcentral
UCAUAUUUACCUAACACUUCUGUUGUUAUCAUGUGAUAAUGCCCACAAUGCCCAUAUUGUCAGAAAUUAAAUGUAUCGAUCAAAUCUCGCUAUGCAACUGGCCUCUUUUCUUGUUUGGUUUGCAAGUAGUGUCACAGAUCACAGAUGCCAUACCCAUCAAGCCUUUCAGGUGGGAUAUUUACCUUCAAGGAUUUGUAUUCAUUGGCAUAAUAAUAUGCCUUCUUUAAGCUAAAAAUGAGAUUUGGAGUUGAAGCACAGAGGCCACAGGAAACUUGAAACAUUUGGGCCUCAACUUCUGGCCCUGUGCGAGUACACAUUUGGGUCUAUGUUAACAGCAAAGAAACAGGGCACAAAAGUAUAAGCCAUCCAAGACCGAAGAUUUUAAAUAUUGGAAUGAGAAAUUAACCAUGUUAUAGUUUGAGUGGAUUGUUUAUUGGCUUUAUCGCAGAAGGGGGAGCUGGUGACUUCUGUGCGGAGAAUUUUAAUAGUCGAGUCUUCUGGGGGAGAAAGCUAUAAAGUUCUGGACCUUUAGGUGUGAUAUCUCUCAUGCUUGCCAAUUUUCCCUUGUGUUAUCCUUCUUCCGGAUGGAUUUAUUUGUAAUUGAAUGCAUAGAUUGUCUUGGUUUCCUGGAUUCUACAAUGGGCAUUUUAUUAUCAGUAUAAAACUUUAGAUAGGACUGACUGUUAAUUACCUUGAUCUGACCCAUUACCUGCCUGUUUGACCCAAAUUUUUGCCUGGACUUGAAAAGAUUUGAGUUUUGUAUUGGGAUGGACUUGGUCAAACUUUUUGCCUGAGGAUGGCCACUGCAAUGCUCGGGCUGUGUUUGGAUCAGCCCAAAAGCCAGCCCAUCCUGAAAAUUAAGAUACUUCAAUUGUUUUACAUAGUUUGCUCAUUUGUCUGUGGGGGGCUUCGUCAUUAUGUAAUUUUUUUCCUUAGUCACAGAGCCUGAAUAUUCACAAAUUAGUUUAAAUAGUUUAUACAGGAGAAGUUUUAGUUAUUUUGGUGUCUCUUAGUUGUCUUAUGGUUUUCUUGGAUCAGCCUCUUUGAGAUGAUCACUGUUUUAAAUGGUAUAUUUCCAAUAGAAUGGAUGAGAUGAUAACUACAUUGAAUUGAUGGACCAUCAGCGAUUUUUAUUACAGAACAUGUACACUUUUUGAGUGGUUUUAACUGGUAUCUGUGGUUAGAGUGUUGGCAUGCUAAGAAUUGCUGGUAAACAUGGGGCCAAAUGGAAGGUAAGCUAUUACAUAAAAAUAAAAAUUAGGAACUUUCGGAUUCUGAGUUGAAAACUUUGAACUUCCAUGUAAAUACUAGAAUGAGCAAUGAGCUUGCCAGUGUGGAAAUUGUUUACAUGGUUGGUAGUGUGUGACAUCUCCUAACACCAUACAUCUAAUGGGCUUCUCUUAAUUGAGCAUGCGCAUUUUAAACCUAUGAGGGUCGAUUGGGCUCAGAGUGGAUAAGUGGUUCGUUACAUAGUAACUGGUCUCUAGUAAAAGCUAGGGUAGUUGAGUAGCUAAGCAAGUCGGUUUCCACUACACAAGAUGUCAAAACUACGGUAGAAAAGUGUGGUCUGUUUCUUAUAAUUCCCAUGUCCUACCUUUUAAUUUCACAUGAUAUAGUGCAUAUUUUGAAAUGAAGGGUGUCGGUAGUCUGUUUUUGAACCAGUUCGGUGCACAAAAUAGGAUUAUAGGAUUCAUCUGUUCAUUGUGGUCCCUCUUCUGCUCAUUUUAUUGUUGAGAAAAAAAAUCACAUACUACAAGAUAGGAAACCUCGGAAAGCAAAAUAUGGCAGUAACAUUAAAUGUUGUGAUGCAGGGGCUUGAAGAUGACAUCUAUCUAAUUGUUGAUAUUCCAAAUAUGUGGCUACUCCAUUCUUUUGACCAUGCAUUGUGUCUAGUGUCAUAUGGAUGAAUGAUAAGAAACUUGGAAGUGUUUGAGUGCUUUUCUUGCCUUUCGCAAGAGCCACAUAAUCAGGUAAUGUGUCAUAGAGUUCUAACUGCAGUUUUAACUCACAAAACUAUAUAUGUAUCUCUGGGAGACAAAUUUUAUCCAAAGAAAAGAAAACGGAAAAGCGAUUCAGAAAUCUCCAUGGUAGCUAGUCUUAACCUGAAAAUGCUUCACUAUGAAACAAUUGGGAGCAAUGAAAUUGAAGGAUUGUUUAUUAGUUACAUAGUGAAAUGAGUGUAUGUGUUUGGCGUGCAUGUUCCCUCCCAAACUUGCUAAUGCCUAUUUGUUAAUUGAGUUCCAGGCUUUUGUAAAACACUUGUUUGAAUGAAGCCAAAGACAAAAAAGAAAUUGUGAGCCCAAUGAUUCUAGCUUAACUUUUCAACUUCAUAAUCUUUGACUUGAAGCCUAAGAGAAGUAGAAUUCCAAUACCUUUCCCAAGUUAAUAAUGAUACUAUAUCAUGGAGAGCAUAUACAAUAUAGGUUAUAAAUCAUGUUUUUAAUGGAUUCUUCUUUGUCUUUACUGAAUUCCUUUUAACCAAGUGGAGGGGUGGUGGCUUCCACAGGGGAUUCAAAUAUGCAACACUUGGUUUAUAAUGUCAGGAGGUUCAUCUUUUAUGUGUACCCACAUGGGGUUAUGUAUACUGGUUUAUCAUUUGCAGGCACAAGGAGGAGGGUAGUCCAAAACUAAAAAGGUGGAAUCAUGAUGCAUGAGGAGGAAAAAAAAAAAAAAAAAGAGAAGAAAUUGACAGCCAAGCCUGAGAAAUCAUAGGUUAAAGAAAGGGAAAAAAGAGGGUAUGAUGUGAAUAUUCUUGUUUUAAAUAUGGAGGUGUAGUUGAGGGUGGUAGACAGGGUGAUGAGGGUGAGACAUAAAAUAUCAUCCAAAAGAGGGACAAGAUCAAUAAAGCGGGGAGCUCCAAUGGGCCCAAAACCCAGUCAGAAAGCUUCAUAUUUGUCUGCAUCACAAUCUUUUUUCUUUCUUUUUUUUUGAAAAAAAGAAAAGGAAAUUAUCUUUUUCAUAACUUGUUUGUGUAUGAAUAGUGAUACUGCAACUGCCUAGGCAUUGACUCAGUGGGCCUUUUUUUGGGGGUGAGCUUUGUUACAUAGUCAGCACAGGUGGGGCCCACUUUGACCACGUUUGUUUUGACUUAUAAGCUCAGGAAACCCACACACAUUCUGAAACUUCAUAUUCAAGGUGUACCAUUGAAAAUGGAAAUCCAAAUCUGAUUCUACUUUAUUUGGGGUUUGGGUUUUUUGUACCACGACUUGAACUAACAGGAUAAAAAAUCUGGGGGUUUCAAUUUGAAUUUACAUUGAACAAUUUUUUUUUUUAAUAAAUAAGAGUACUGGAUCUGGGUUGAAUUCAAAAGCUGAUAUUGAUGAUUACUAUGAUUAUAAAGUUCCACAUUUUAGUCAGGGGUUGUUUUAACUUUCAAGUAAUUUGAAGCCCACUCAGAUAAAGAAAGUGGCAGAUUUUUCAAUUUUCUCCUUUCAGUGUGAAAAGAAUGAAACCAAACAUGUUUUUAGGUUUGUAUGUAUUUAUCAAUGCUGCACUCCGAUCCACACACAAAGAUAUUGUGUGACUUUCGGUUGAAAGGCAUGGCAGCAUCCUUCAGGUGGAGUCAUUUUCAGGGUGUUGGGUUGAUUUGAGGCGGCAGCUCUUGGAGCCACAAGGGAGUUGAGGGCACCGCUACUUAAGAAUUAAAUCACUUCUUUAAGGGCCUUGUAGGGUCCAGCUGAUGUUUGAUUUUUCAAAUGAAUCUCAAGGUCAAGGGCCCUCUUGGCACAUGCCAAUAUUCCUCUGUUUGCCCUUGUCUCUCCAUUCUGGUCAAGAUUCUCUUAAUUUCAACAUUGGCUAUCCCACAUGAGAAUGCGUUUUUUCAGGUUAACAACUUGUCAAUCUACUUUCAAAACUCCCAACUUUAUUUCUUCUUUUACAUGUAUAAACACAUUGGAGUGUGUGCUAAUUUGGACCCAAGAUUAGGUUUGACAUUUGGGAGUUAAGGGACAGUGUUUGGAUGAUAAAGUACAUUAGAAAAAUCAUCUAUGGGCAACAUGUUACUCUUAUCCUGAAUAAGCUUUUGAGGGUGUUCUAACUUCUAAGCCAUUACUAUUAGUCCAUUAGAUAAGGCAAUUGAGUAUUGAAUUGUAAGGACACCCUAAAGGCAUCGGAAUAAUGUUUUUGACCAACCCAACAAACCGUAUAAAGAUUUCUUUAUAUAUAUUGAAAAAUUAAUAUUUAAAGGUUUCUUCAAGGGUGUUGGACACUAUCCAAAUGGGGUUUGAAUCAAAUUUCUUAAUGGUAAGGAGUCCUGGGAUGAUGAUCAUGCGUUAAUGUUGCGGAAAGGAGGUGAAGAAAAUAAUAGCUGAUGGGUUGGGAGCACGGUCAUGGCCGUCAUUUUGGAAUAUGGGAAUGGUGCUGAUGAUUAGAGGGUGCAUUGAGAGACAAGUCAUCCCUACAUCUUUUGAAUUCUAUCUUGAAGAGCAAACAAACUCAAUGCCGUCAAUUAAAGCUUUCGCCCUUGAACCAUGCAACCGAGAUUUCUUCAUGCCACCAUGUGAGGAAUGCCUCCAAAGUUCUCCAAAAGAAAAAUCAUAAUGUAUCCAUUUCAGAUACCAAUGCCAUCCUUCCAUCUUUACUUCAGAUGAUAAUCAUUUGGUCCUAAGCACCCACAUGGACCCCAAUUCUAAGACAUCAUCAAAUUCAAUUGUUUUUAUGUUAUGGCGCAAUUGUUGUAAUCGUGCAAUAAACAUUAAUUAUUUAGUGACCUCCUACUUAAAAGAUAUGAGAGUACUAUCUUUUGGAUGCUAAAAUGGAAUUCGGUAUUAAUUCAAUCACAAAUGAAUAAAAAUAAAGAAAAAUAGGAGAUUUUAACGUAGUUCUACAUCAAUAUAAUCUGAUCUCUACGUUAUUAAUCAAACUAAAAUGAAAAGAUACAACGGUGAGCAUCAUCUUUUUCCUAACUAUGAUUACAUAUAGCUUUUUUCCCUCUACAAAACCCUAAAUUAUAUGUAUAUAUAUAUAUUGAAUAUAAUAGGAAUUCGACAGAUAGUACGAUUGAUAAAUUAUACUUCAUGUCCUUGUGAAGCAAGAUUAGGCUUUUAGGGAACCGAAAUUAACGACUGCACUUUUCCCUGUCCCAAAACAAAACCACCGUCUUCACUUUGUCUACUCCCCCGGAAUGAUCGCGCGGUGCAGCUCCAUCACUUUCGCUUUUCACUAUCCACCAUUGUUAAUUUCAUUCUAUCAUGCUUCCACCAUAUCAACCUCACUAUCAUCAUGUAACAAAGGAAAAUGCUCUAUCCAGUAUCCAAUGACUUUGUCUAUGUAAAAUAUUUUAAUCUUUGCUAUAACAUAGAUAGAAGAAAAGAGGUGUAUCAUGCAUGAGCGGGUGGGCUAGGCAAUAGGGCAUGAGCUUAAAAAAGUUGGUGAAACAGUGGAACGUGGUUAGUGAUAAGGUCUAUGUAGGCUAAUGAUUUCCAAUUGAGGAUUGGGUGGGUUGGGCGGACCUGCACCACCCAUGCGCCCAUGCCCAUCCCCUCACUGCCAAUGCCAUCAAUACACUGUAUAUUGUUUGCACCUACUUUACUUUCCAACCACCUUCUUCCUCGCACCAUACUAUCUACAUGUCUUCCUGUGUGUGCACCACCUCCCCCACCCCCCUCUUUCCACUGCCUUUAUUUUUCCAGUCCAAGUUCAUAGUCCACUGUUGCACUCCUUUUCAGUGCAAGUCCCUAACCAUUUUCCCUUUUACUUCUGUUCAUUUUAUUAAAUGGGAUAUGGGUAUACAAGACAAAACCUUUUCAAACCGACCAAUGGUCCAAUCCCAUGAAAUUAGGCUUUUGUUUGCAAAAUUAGGAUGACCCCCUUCACUUGACCUCUCUGCCCAUGCACCAUGCUUGCUGUAGCAGGUAGCAACCCAUGAUAUGAAACACAGCAACACGUUCACAACAUCACCACAUGCACAUCGUUCUUUCUUAUCUCCCAAUAAAGAAUCAAAUAAAUUUAUCAAAAGUUAGUCCAAAACAGCUUUUUAAAUACUUGUUUCUACUUUCAUUUUUUUCUGUUUGAAAAUGAUUUUAUUUUUUAUAUGAUUCCCUUUGUCAAAAAGAAAGGAAACUUUCAUUCAAUUCAAUGACAUAAAGAUACACUGCACAUAUUUUCUUUCCAUGUACGCUACAUAAAUGUGUAAAAUCAUGGUUGGUGAGAAAAAGGCAUUUUGAAGAGAAGAAACCUUGAGAGAACAUGUUUGUAGUGUUAAGAGGCGUGUCGCAUGGAGAAGGCAACAAAUUGGCUUAAAAGUCAAACCAAAAGGGUUUUUGUCAUCUUCUAACGUGGCAAAAGCAUCCAUUGCUCACACAAUAAUCCAAGCACUCCUUGCCAAACAACUUUGGAGAUCCUUGUCCAUCUCCAACUGCACAUUCAUAUCGUUGCAUCAUGGAAUUGGAUCCGUGACUCAUCCAUAUUUUUCCGCACUCCUUCUCCACGACCUCUUCCUCUUCCUAAUCACUUCGAACAUGUAUGAAUUUUAUAACACUUCACUUCUCUUCCCAACCAUUGGCUCAAACAUCCACACUAGAACUGAUGGUAAAGCCCAAAAUUGAUCAUGAACUGUUCCAUUCAGUGUUUUAAUGGGUUUUGGUUUAUCUGGUGUGCCGACAAGUGCUUUUUCGUUGCUUAAUUUAAAAUCUAGUAUGCCCUUUUUGACUCACUUUCCAUUUGAUAACAGACAUUUUGUUUUUCCAAAUUUUUGUUCUGGCUACUAUGCUUUGUUUGACAAUGAAGGCAAUGAUGUAGGCCUACAAGGCUGAGGUGCCAAAGCCUAUACACAAUGCAAGUGGCUUUAAUUUCUGUCACUUAGAGUUGGUUACGUGAAAUUCAUGCUGAUAAGCCGUGAUUAUGUGUAGGCUUUAUGGGGCUCGAAAAUGAGAUUAAACAUUGGCUGCUUCAGCUCGAUAGGUCAAAAAGAUAAAUGGGUUGUGGCAAAGAUAAAAAGGGAGAAAGCCUAGAUUGAGUUGUACCUAUUAGGUGGGGGUGUGUGGGGGACAAAGGCGACCACCAUUAUAUCCCAAAUCUACUCUGAAAAGCAUACAAAAAUAAGCAUGGGGAUAGCAGGAGGUAAGGGAUCAUUCCCUUCUGAAUAAGAUUUCCAUAGUGGAUAUACAAAUCGAGUCUUAUGCAGUCCCUGCAAAAGUUCCAUUCGAUAUGACCCAACUCCCAACUUUCCGUAAAGUUUGGCCCCUUCUCCCCCUCCCUCUCCCUUGAUUAUUCCCAAAAUAAAAAUUUCAAGCAGCACAUUUUGAAAAGACCCUCGCCAACUAAACACACGGGAAGUUAGGAGUUUGAAUGGUAGUUAGGAGAAGAAGAAUUAGAGUAAAUAUUGGUUGGUUUAAGUUAAGUUAGUUAUAACAAGUCCAAGUGACCGUUGCAGGGUAUAAUGGUGGGGAGACAAGGGGGUCCUCUCUGUGUUGUGGCUUUGAGAGACCAUAGAUAAAAAGGGGUUACCAAAAAUUUUCAAAUGGAAACAGGAUUGGGACUGGGUGUGGUGUGAAUUGUUGGGGGCAGCAAAAAAUGGGUGCAACUUGAAUUAUGAUUGGUGGGAAUAUGAAUAAUGAUGAGGGAAGAGGAAAUGGUGUAUAUCCAAAUCCACUGGGAAGGGGACACGCGUCAGGAGAGGGAGCGUUGGGUGAUUUGAUUAGAGGCCAAAAGGUAGAGGACAAGAGGAUGAAGGUGAAGGCCAGGUAUUACCACAAACUUUGGGUGCAUCUGAUGGGCUGAUGCUGCACUAGGACUUGGGGUUGUGGGUAGUUUUAAUCAUAGUCUGCUGUCUCUUGUGUUGUCCAUCACAAUUAUUUCUUCCAGCUCCCUAAUAAAAGCUGCCACUUCUCCAAAAUUCAUCACUUCUUUUUUGGCUUUGCAGACUUGAGUUUUUUCUUAUCCUUUUUUUCUCUCUCUUUUUUCUUUUCUGUGGAUAUAUCUUUUGAAAUUAUGACAUCAACCAGAAAUCAUAUUUUUUUCACUUUCCAUUAGUUUGGUUACUUGAUUCCUCUGAAAAUGUUUAUUUAUUUAUCUAUGCACUUUUUUUUUUUUUCUUUUUCAUAUUUCGAAAACCCCAUCUUUGCUAUUUCAUUUAAAAAAGAAAAUGAAAAAAAGAUUUGCUUUCUAACCAUCUCAGUUCCACUCAAUUCCACCCCCAUUAACUCUUUUUCCAAGCAAUAAGUGGCUAGAAUCAUUGACCAGAUCGUAAAAGGAAAUGGGCAUAUCAUCUGAAAAGACUAACAAAAUGUGCAGGAGUUGGCUAUGGUGCCUCCAGCCCUGAUCAAGUUGAUCAAACCCUAAAACCCCUGAAUUCUCUUUUAUUUAACAGUUUAGAAGAACAGAGUAGAUCAGAUGGUCAUGACUCAUGAUGGUCCAAUCAUGUUCUAUCUUUACAUAAAACCAAAAUUUCAUCAGUGGGUCCUACUAAAUCUUUAGGAAGCAUGCUAUUUUUUUUUUUUAAUAAGAAAAUUACAGCUCCAACAUCUUUGAGACAGUUCAAUUAUCAUUAAUUAUCAGUACAAGGGACAUUUACAUAAAAAGACUAGCCUAAGGAGAAGUUGAAAGGAUGGUAUCAGAAGUGAAGCAAUGUACAGAGUAGGCAGCAUUAUUGCUAGGGACAUGUGAGUCCUUCCAUGGCAGCCAGAAGAACAGCUCUGGGGCUCUGGCAGUAACACCAUAGAUAAUAAAAUGAAAUUUGACCAUGUUUAUUUGUAGCACAGGCCACAGAGGGAUGAAGGAAGUUAUGGGACUUGAAAUGGAGGAUGCAUUGGGAAAUGAAGGUAAUAAAGGGAUGGGUCGGGUGUUGGUAGGACUAAAAGAUGGUGACAGAUCCAACCCUAAGGGGUCUUAGCUCAACAGCUUCCACAGACACAUGCAUGAAGCUCUCAGAAUACUCCAAUUAUUAUUUCUUUUAGCUGCUCUCUGCACAUUCACAUUUUGCUAUACCGGUAGGCCACGUGUGUUGGUACCAUUUCAUUUUUGGGCGUUUGUAUGAUGCUCAGUUAUUCUAUUUUUAUCAUUUUUACUGCCCGCCAGACUGAAACUGAAGCCCCCUUUGCCAGGGUGGCAGAAUGCAGAUACAGCCCACCCCCCGCCAAUGCCAAAGACAGGGCUUCCUCCCCUGUUUUCUUCCUCUUCCUCUUCCUCUUCUUUCUUUUUUCUUCUUAUAUUUAUCUCCAUCCUCCAUUACCAGUUGGGCCCACUUUCAAUAUUUGAAACACCACGAAAAUGGAAAAAUUCUAACCAAAUUAAAAGGAGGAAAAAAAUUGUUAAUUCGAUAUUUCAUUUUUAGUGUUUUUCUUUAUAAUCUCUUUUCCAAGAAUCAAACGUAGCCUUCAUUUUGGGUUAUCUCCCACGCCCCCUCUGUCCUGUUUUGUUGUAUUGUUUCUGUUUGGAGAACUGAGAAAUCUGACAAAACUGAGUGUAGAGUUUAGGGCAUUGUCCCUUUCUUUACACUAGGGAGAAUCUAUUUAAGGAUGAAGCCAUGGCAGGCAUAAAACCGGUAUACUUUGUGUACCCAUACCUUUGUUCACAUAUAUUGAACUAUUUAUAGUGUCCCAGCUAGCAUCUCAAUCAACAUCCCAUUAUCACCUACUAAUGCAGCUAUCAGCAUCUCAAUUAACUAUUCCCAUCUAUUCAUUCCUUUCACAAUGGCCCCCAAAGAAUUAACUAACUGACAUAUUAUAAAAUGGAGGAUAUUUUUGUUAGGUGAGUGACUGGCUGAGCAAUGAAUUCAUCCUUCAGGAAAAUAUCAUAUCCAAACAAGUAUUCAUUGAAUAUUUGAGAGUUGAAUCCCUGUCAACCCAUUAAAAACAAAACCAGAAUAACUGCCAUCCUCAACUGGGACUGAAUUCGAAAACCCUUUCCAUUUUUGCAAUAAUACUGUUACUCAAGUAUUACCCAACAUGGAGAUUAUGCAUGUUGAGCAAGGAACCCCUACUUUGCUACGAAAUUUUAUCAUUGGUGAUGAUUUUUCCACCAACCACAAUCAUGUUAUGGGCAUCAAAAAGUGAUAAGAGAGACUAAAAGAAAAAAGGCAAUAAACCAAGAAAGUCUAUACUUCUUCUAGGUUGCAAACAACAACGGUUGAAAAAGUAGUAAGUUGGUAUCCGAUGUUUUCCACAAAAGGGAUUAUGAACUCAAAUCGCAAGUAAUUAAUGGAUAAACAAAACACCAUGGGGCACUCAGAAACACUUUGAUAUACACGUGCAGUACGCGCAAACACACAAAAACAUGCGAUAAACGCGCAUGCAAGCAUGCACAAGGAAGACACAUAAUUUAUAAGUAUAACAACUCUAUCCCCCAAUUAAGAAAUGAAUAAUGGUUUGUUUAUAACCUCAAUACUUAGUGAGUGGGCAGGAAGUAGACUUGAGGACAGAGCAGAGGAGAAGGGGAGGGAGCCAUAAAGGGCCAAAGUUUGGGGAUUGGGGUAUAUUUAAGGAAUAUAAUAAGGAUUAGUUUAAGAGCAUGGGGGGAGUUCCUGCAAUAUUGGCAUUGGAAAGAAGAAUAAAAAAAACUAGAGCAAAUAUAAAGAAAGAGAAAGACCCAUCAAAAUAUUAAGAAAUAGGGAAAUGGGGUGACUAGAAAAGUGAGAAAAAACAAUGUGGGUGUUUGGAGAAGAAAAUGUGAUAGGAGGAGAAGGGGCAAAGCAAUUAGUAGGGAUGGAUGGGAGUGGGGACAGCAUGCUUGUGUGAGGUAAGGAAGUGGGAUAUAGGGAAGGGCGUGAAAUAAAAAUACAAUGUUUCCUAUGCUUACAACAACUGUGUCGAGUGAGGGAGGGUGGAUGAGGGUACAAGCUCAUACCCCAUUACCCACAUAUGUUUAUUCAAUCAUCAAUCCUCCCAUUUCUCCAUUUUUACCCAUCAUCCUCACUCUGUAUCUUCUCAAAAUGCCUAUCUCAGAAUCCCCACCUAGGAAAGGAAAUUACAAAUCAUCAUUCAUGAAGAAAUGCCAUGACCCUUCAAGUUUUUUAACUUGGACGUUUCAAGGUCAUGUUUGGUUCAUAAAGCUAAAAGUCAAAAAAGAAAAGAAAAUGUAAAUAAAAAUUUAUGUAUUUUUAAAUUAUUUAAUCUUUUUAUAAAAAUAUUAAAAUAAGUUAAAUGAAUUUAAAACCGGAUAUAUAAAUAAUUUAUGAAUUUUAAAUUUAUUUUCUUAUUUUUCUAUUUAUCUUUUUCUUGCAUUUUUCCUUAAAUUUUUUCUUGAGAACCAAACUUAGUUAGAGAAUAAGAAUAUGAAUUUGAUGCUUGUGUUUUUUUUAAUAUAGAAAUUUUGUGAAAAUACAUUUGAUUUUGAGCAGAAAAAAAAUUCAAUAAUCUUUUGAUUUUUCUUUUUCAUUUGAAAAUGAAAAAAAAAAAACUUUCAAACGAUGUCGAUAUUAGGCCUACUAAAGGGUCUGUAUUUAUCAUGAAAUUUUCAUUUAUAUUUGGUUUUAGAUCUUAAAAUCUUAAAUUCUCUUUAGAAAUCCUAUAAGAGAAAAAUAAAAUUUAAUAAUAAUGAAAAAAAAUAUUUAUUAAAUAAAUUUUCUUUGAGAAGGUAAAGGAAAUAUGGAAUAAAUGUAAAAGAAUAAAUGUAAUUGUACCAAAAAAAAAAAGUGGCCACGCGCGCCAAUAUGCGUAGUGUUUGUAAAUGGAAGUUGGUAGAAGCGUGGGAAGAGUAAUCACGUGCCACUGAAAGCUUAUAUAUACGCAUGGAGAUGAGAAGUCAGGCAAGAGCGGUGAAGAGGAAGGAGGGACUGCUUUACUUGUUUUGUUUUUGUGACACUUGUUUUCAAGGCUCUACCCCAUAGAGGCUCGAGAGGUAGAUACGUCUAUUUCUGAGGCAUUCGUAAUUUCCAAGCAACCCACUGGGAGAAAAGGUUUUAGUCAAUACAGCGUGAGAUGGAGAUUGAAGCUGAAGUGGAGCAGUCUAAAUUCAAGAGGAUUUGCGUGUUCUGCGGGAGUAGCCAGGGGAAAAAGACUAGCUAUCAGGAUGCUGCUAUUCAGCUUGGCAAAGAAUUGGUAUUCAAUCAAUUUGUGUUUGUUUGUUUUUUCUGUGUUUUCUCUCGAUGAAUGAAUGUUUUUUUGGCUUUCUUUAAUGGGUUUUGCCUGAAAUCAAUUGAAGUUGCUUGCUUUUGAAAUGAGAUUUUAUUGUGUGCUGGGUUUGUCUCUGUUUUGGUUUAUGCAAGUGAACUGUUCUGAGCCUUGCAUGUUAAUAAUGUCUUUGGCUCUGUUUCUUGAGCAGCUCUCCUUCUCUCUCUGUCGUCUCUCUCCUCUCUCUAAAUGUCUUUAUCAGGGGGAACCCAGUUAGAAUCAAACUACUUGCCCAUUUUGGAGAUGCAAACUAUGUGCUAUGUUUUUCAGAUAGUUAUGUGGAAUAUGUCCUUUCUGUUUUUCAUUUUUGGGUUAAUUUUAUUAUUCCCAAUUUCACCUCUUCUUCUCUUCCGAUACUAGCCUGUACGCCUUUUUCUCGCCCUCUCUAAACAUUAGAAGACAUGGAUUACAUGAAGUUAUCAAGUAGUAUUAAUAUUGAAGGAAGAUUGAAGAAAUCAAUCUUUAAAUGUAGUCUGAGGAGCCGCAAUCUCAAAUGGGUUCACCUCAGUUGUUUCCAUUAAUCUUGAAGAUAGAAGUUUAUUUACUCUCUCUGAGCUGCUUUGGCUGUGGUCUCUUGAAGGUCUCAAGGAACAUUGAUUUGGUCUACGGAGGGGGUAGCAUAGGCCUGAUGGGUUUGGUUUCUCAAGCUGUUCACAAUGGUGGCCGUCAUGUUAUUGGGUGAGUCCCUGCCCUUUCUUUUUCUUCUUCUACUUCCAAUCUGUCUUCAAGUUCUCCAAUAAAAGAUCAAACAAAAAGAUGAAGAAACAACAAGAAAUCAGCGAAUUGGGUCUGCUUUUCAUUGUUGUUUUGUGGUUUUGUUCUCCAUAACAGCUGAUUUUUGUCAUGUUGUUGUCCCUCCUUCUCUGCAGAGUUAUUCCCAAGACGCUCAUGCCUCGAGAGGUAUGUCUGCUAACUCUACCCAAAAAAGUUUCAUGCCUUUUCUCAUGAAUAAAAAAAUUACAGAUUCUUUUUUUUUUUUCCUUCCUUUCUUCCAUGGACCGGCUUUACAUUUUGCUCCAUUUUCUUAUCCACCUCCCUUUCUUUCUUUUCAAAUCUUUAUAUCACUUUCCAGGCCUCUAGCUACCUUUUUUUUUUUUUUAAUAUAUGUUUUUUUCUUUUAUACUGUUUUGUUUUCUUGUUUGUUUUGUUCUUCAAAUCUCUGUUUUUCUGGUGGAAAGUUGAUAGCCUUAUCCAUAAUUGUACACGGGGUAGCUGGCAUUUUACCUUUAUGUAUGCUUAUAUAUUUUUCUGAUUUUGUACUGUUUUCUUCUACUAUUUCAUCCUUAUUUGAUCAGAUGAGCUAUGAUCAGCAUUUGUUUUCUUUUGUCGUUUUUUUUCCUUGGCUUUUUCUAAAGUUAGAUUAUUUUAUAUAUAUAUAUAUAUAUAUAUAUCUAUAUUUUUUAAAUCUAUCCACUUGGUACCGUAUGAAUUACUAGAUGGAGUUGAAGAUCUUGGUUUAAGUCCACCAUUCCUGCAACUCUCAUCAUUGCUUCACUGCACAAUACUCCAACUCUAUAUUUCUCUCUACAAGUUUCCAAAUUUUCUUUUCAAAAAAUAAAGAAGUAAAUAUAAAAUCUGUGGUUUGGUGCCCUUUUUCAGCUAACUGGUGUAACAGUGGGGGAAGUGAAGGCAGUUGCAGAUAUGCAUCAAAGGAAAGCAGAGAUGGCUAAGCAUUCAGAUGCCUUUAUUGCCUUACCAGGUUGGUAUAAACUACAAAAACAAAAACAAAAACAAAAACAAAAAUUCUCACUUACACUAAAAUCUCCAAAGCAAAUCAUGAAAACAUGAAGACCAUCAGGUGCUUUUAUUUUUCUAAUUUUGGCAUCCAAGAUUCACCAUAUCUCGUCUUGAUUCUUUCUCACAGUUGCUAAAUCAUCCCUCAAUAGUAAAGAAAUCCUUGGUCUGAUCCCUCAGUUUCUAUUCAGUAAAGGGCCCAUCUCCUGAUUCCUAUCAGAUUGGUUAAUUACUCAGGAUUUUCUCCCUUUGCAAGUUGGAGCUUCUUCUUUGAGCUUUUGCAUGGGCAAAAAAAGUUGAUCACAGAAAAAGCAUCUUUUAAUCCUCCUUAAAGAUGCUAAUCAAGUUGGGAUUAUCCUGAUACAUUUAUACAAGAGAUUGUUAGAAGUGGAAAAAGGAAUUUAUCAUGAAAAGUUGUGAAAAUACUGCACUUUAUACUGUUCUGCCUGUUCUAUUUUGAUGCUAUAUAUGGUCCUGGUAGUCCUGUGAAAGCAACUGUGUGAUCAAGCCUAAAUUAUCAUAACUCUCUCAACUUUCUAACACAAAACCCAAGAUCCAUGAUUAGAGAGCAACUCUCCCAACCCUACUUCUUUGACCCAUCAACAUCUUACACUGAAAAUUAGACCCUCUGAAGAACCCAGCUUCUGUUAACCAUGCCCUUUUUUUCCCUCUCUGUUAUAGUUCUCUAGCCAGUGACCCCAUCCUGUGUCAACGUUUGUUUACCAUAUUAAGGGAAAGCUUUCCACAUACACCCUUUUACCAAAUAAUUUUUGCCAUCUAGGAACUGCCCCUAACCCAAUCAUAUUCACUCAUUUUAAAUGCUUCUCUUAUCCUCAUGAGCUUAUAAAAUCCCUUUUUUAUUAGGAUAAUCAAGGGCAAGAUAGUCAUUCCAUCUUCCUGGGGGACACCACCACACCCCCUUGGAAAAAAAAAAGAAAAGGACCUCUGUUGCAUGAUAGUAUGAGAGACAUUAUGACCUGAAUGGGGUUGGCAGGGGAUUGUGCCUCUGUUUUCAGAGAGGAGAUGGGGGUAAUAAAUAUUCUUUGCUUUGGAGUGGGAAAACUGAGAGAGGCCAACAUGGGCAUUGAGACCGUCAUGGUGCCAAUACAUGAAACCUUGUCCAGCAAAUGGAAGUUUGUGGACUAUAAUAAUCCCGAGUCAGGGUACAAUAUGCUGCUUACCAGUUACCAUCAUAUGGGCAGUCAGUCCUCCAUGGGCAUCAAAUGAAUGGUAGUGGGACUGUAAUAAACCUCCCUUGUCAAAGUACAUUGCACUAAACAUCAAAUGUCCAGAGUGAACAGGCAGUUAAGUCUGUCCUUGAUGGAGCAAGCCAUGAAGACCAUGCCCAUCAAAUGAAAAAGGUUGUGGACUGUGAUAAUAACCCUUUAGUCAAAGUACAUUGCACUAACCAUCAAAUGAAAGAGUGAACAGACAGUUGAAUCAGUCCUUUUUACCCUUUACUAGUUAGAAGUGAUCGAUCAAAUACUUUAUGCCUCACCACUAGUUGUGUUAGCCUAUUAGUCUGUGCUUAACUGCCUUUGCGUCUUGGAUGUUUUUCUGCAUCUCUCUCUCUCUCUCUCUCUCGCGUAUCAUACCCACUUUCUAUACAGUUGUUGCAGUCACCAACUACAUUAUGAUGUGUUGUUGUACUUGGGAACCUUUGGUUAUUUCAAACAGAAAAACAUGGGUAAUCUUGCCAAAAGCAAUUCGUGAUAUGGCCUGAUCUCUUAUGCACUACAUGCAGGAGGUUAUGGUACCCUUGAGGAGCUACUUGAAGUGAUAGCCUGGGCUCAACUUGGGAUUCAUGAUAAGCCAGUAAUUCUUCUUAGCCUAUGUGUCUUUGAGAUUCUGUUAAUGCCUUGUGCAGUGUUUGUUGUAGAGAUGAAAUUUAUAUACCUUUUGCAGGUGGGAUUGCUGAAUGUGGAUGGAUACUACAACUCCUUACUGUCAUUUAUUGACAAAGCCGUGGAAGAAGGUUUCAUUAGUCCCAGUGCCCGCCACAUUAUUGUAUCUGCCCCAACAGCAGAGGAGUUGGUGAAGAAAUUGGAGGUAUUUUCACCAAAAAAAAAAAUUCCUCACUCCAUUGCUUCUUCUUUCUGAAUUGUUAUAUAUUUUUCAAUUCACUUAGUAAUUCGGAAUCCUGAAAUGUGCUCAUAAUCCGUUCCAUCUCUUGACUCUGCUCACCGCUCUGUUCUGCAGUUUCUUUAAGUUUUUUUACUGUACAAUUUCUUAUAUUGCUUUCUUAUUGUAGGAGUACGUCCCAAGCCAUCAGGGGGUUGCUUCAAAGUUGAGCUGGGAGAUGGAGCAGCUUGAUUAUCCUGAAGAAUAUGAUAUCUCUAGUUGAAAUGAGCAUAUUACUACAUAGCAGAUGGAAGUAGAUGGGAAUCUGGAACUGAAAAGGCUAAUUUGGAAAGAAAACAAAGUCGAAAUUUCUGUUGUGGGGAAUUCAUUUUGUAAAUUACUAUAAUUGACAUGAAUAUGUGAAGCUUCGCUAUUCCCUCCUAUUGGAAAUUUAGUCUUCUGUUAAGUUGUUAGUACUAGAUUACUAUGAACAAUUAUUCCCCUUUAAAUGUUAAUUUAUUAUGUGUUUACUAAUUUCUUCGCACUAUUCUUUUUCCUUUUGUUUUUGUGUGGGUGUGAGGGCUUAAAGAUGGGCUUCCUAAACAAUUUUCUAAAUGACAACAAAAUUCACUACCUGAAGGGGAGGCUAAAGAGAUCUGCCUGAUCAAAAUUACAAAUUACACUGAAAGAUUGUUAAUGUCCUCGUGUAAGAUGAUUGGGUUCCCUAGAAAACAAUUCCCACAACUGUUAUAUAGGUCCCUCACAAUUCAUUGAUACCAGAGAGAUGAAACAAUCAAAGACCAAAAGACCCCAGGAAAGCUGAAAGAAAAUAUCCCGAGACUUGUCCCUGAAAAAAGAUAUUCCAAAGCCCAUUCACCCAAGGCCUGAUAUGGAACAUGAUUAUGCCGUAUUCAGAAUCUCAGAUCCCCAAACUAGGGAAUGCUGCCUUAAUAAAUGGGUGCAGCCAGGAAGACAUAAAUAAGGCAGGACUAUACAAGAAGUCCUAGAGGGUAUGAUGCAAGGGGACAUCUAGCAGAAGACCCUAAAAUGAACCCAACGCUAGCCAUAAUUCUUCGUGAUAGACAUGAAAUUGUAUGGUGGAGGUACCUUAUCAUCGAGUUGUUUCACAUCAAACUCUCUUAAAUAUCUUACAUAUAUUGAGGCUUUCUGUAGGCAAAUUUUAUUAACUGAUCCUGAUAAGCCAAUUCCAUGCUUCUCCUUUCCUUGCCAUAACGGUUAUCUUAUGGAUGAAACCGAAAUUAAUGCACAAAAGUCAGGAUCUGGUCAACUAAAAGACUGUUAAGAGUAAAUGGUUGAGAUGUUUAUGGAUCAUGCAGGCGAGAACAGAAGCAACAGUCCACUAAGAGAGGCGAAAUAGUCUAAAAUCAAAAGAAGAAAGGGGGGCCAAUUUUGUAAGACAUGUUUUCAAUCUGUUUUCAAGUACCUACUUCAGUUAAGGUGCGAGCUUGAGACAACAGACAAGACUAGUCCAACGGAAGACUAGUCCAGCCGAUAACAGAAGGGGACCCAGUGGGGUUGAAGGCGAGGGGAGGAGAGGAGAGGGGGCCUCGUCCUGUUCACCUAAAGACCAAGUAGUGGCCCCCCUCUUGUCUGCAAAUGGGACACUGACAUGUGUUCCAGAGGGCCACAUGUAAUGGUAUAGAGGGAAAGGAAAGACCAUGUGCCACUGACGUUUCAGGAGAAUAUCAAAGCCAAAUUUGGCCCCAGUUUCUCUUUGUGGCUUCUUGUGGUUGAUACCACUGCUUUGCACUAUUGAUUUAACCCAAAAGCAUUUGGUUGGUAAGGAGUCGAUUUUGAUGGUUGAUUGCUAAGAGACCUGUACUUUGAAAUGAGGCCGAAACAUGGAAGAGGAAUGAUAAAUGGAAGGCCCUCAACUUUUUUGUGUCUGCUAAAAAAAGGGUAAAUUUGCUCUACAAUAUUUCAUUAAUAACAAAAUGGACUUGUUGAUGGAUGCAUAGUUGCUUGAUGUUUUAUGGCUAAAGCAGAGAAAGAAGAUACGAAUUUUGAAACGAUCACGUAGCCCUGCAGUUGCUGACGUUGAGAGGGAAAAGCACAUUCAUCAAUCCAAUGUAAGACAGCUGCAGAAUUUUGCAUGGUCAUGUUAGGCUAGUUACCACAACUUUGCCUUUUUUCUGUGCCUUUGUCGCUAAAAAUGACAGGCAUUAAGAUAGGAUGGCUAGUGAACAGGUAGGCAAAGCAGCCAAAAAAACUUUUAUGGAUAAGGAAGAUAUCAUAGUCCGGAGAUGAUAUCAUCCACGAUACCUUUGUAUGAUUGAACAGACUACCCCUGAAGACGUAACAUGUGAAUCUUUAUGUUAAUGUGCUCAACUCAUAAAAGUUUUCUGAGUCUUCUUUCGCCCACAUAUGGUCUUCUGGUUUGAUAGCAUUCUUGUCAUACCCCAUUAUGCCAAUAGCACCAGCCACCCAUGUCGCUUUCCUCACUCUCAACCCAUAUUAUUUUUUCCAUUUCAACUGCUGUUAUUUCACCCAUUUGGCUGGGCUAUGGGCUUAGGCCCUGUAUUUUGAUAGUUCAGUUUGCCAAUUGGGCUUCCCAAAACGUGGCUAGAUUGGUAUUUAAGACCAGACCAUUGAUUCACAGUCCGGAACCUGCAGUUAACCAUAAAAGAGGAGAAAAAAAACACUGGUGCCUAACUCCAUUGGUUUCUAAAGCAACCAGAAUCCGUCCGUAGUGUUUGGAGGAGGUGGUGUGGACGGACUCAUCCCUAGACAAAGGUUCAGUCUCAUUCUUAUUUCCUUGGACUUGUUAUCCACUCUACUGGGUGGUUGGGACUAUCAUUGUUAUCGUUAGCCUCGACAGACAUGUGACACCAGGGUCUCAUGAGGCAACACUUUAGCUCUAUGAGUGACCUGUGACAUGACAAGGUGGCACAAGGGUGUAAUGCUUUGCACAAAGAGACGGCUUGGUAAGCCAUGCCAUGGCAUGUUGCACACCAAAAGUGACUUAGACGAGGCAUAUCAAUGCAGCAACAAUGAUGCCAAUUCAGAUAAGAUGCCUGAGGCUUGGCACAAGGUUGCAAUGCCAUGACAUGUUCUUGCACCAAGAAGAAGGCUUGGGCAAGGCAUGGAGCUGCAACAACAACAAGGUGGAUGUAGGAGCAUGUUGCCUCGGCAAAGACCUAAUCUGGAUGUGUAGACCAAGAGAGGGCUUGACACAGACAUGAGCUACAUAGAGGUGCAAGCAAUAGUAGCAUGAAGAGUUGGACUCGAAGUAACAUUGCCAAUCAAGCAUGAGCAAAAAUCUUGAUUCCUAUUGUAAUUAUAGUUUGAGUAAGACUAAGAUUGUUUGUCACUAGUUCAAGUAGGAAUGGUCGGUGCCAUAACCUAUGAGCAAGAGUCCAAUUAAAACUAGGAUUGUAUACUCCUAGUCUAACAAGGGGUGGGUGACACUACUCUAUAAUAAGGGACGACGGGGAAAGCCUUCUAACAAAGAGUUUUAGAGAAAGCAUGAACUCACCAAAGAGAUUAUAAGAGUCAUGUUGUAAGUCAAACCUUGUAUAUAUUCUUAUUUAAUGGGUUAAUAAAAUACAAGUUGGGAUCAACGUCCAGUGAUAUGAUGUGUGCCUUGUGUGAGAUUGUUCCUUGUUGCCAUCUCAUUGGGGAAAGUGUAAGCUAGCUUAGAUGGCUUCUAAGCGCCGCACAUAUGUGAAAACUUGAGUGGGAAUUUCAUGGUUGUGACUUGUGACAGUUACUUUAUAUUUAUCCCUUUCGAAGUCUUGUCAUAUGAUUAGUCAAGAGUCAAGCAAGUAUGAGGAGCCUAAACCCCAAACCAAAAAAAGGUAGUGGACUUGGAGGAAAAUAGGGGCAGUUCACCUACGUUCAAGCCCCUCGUUACAAUCAGUCUAUUCCCCUACAAUAAUGCUCAACAAGUAUUUCUAGGCUCCUUAUUGAUGAAUGAAGAGUGAUGAUGAAUAAUUUUCAUACUCCAAAAGAAUGUUGACAUAUAAGCUUGGAGGUAUUUUGAAGUUAAAAAAAUUGACCAACAUGUUUUGAGCCAUCAGUUGGAAGUGAACUCAAAAUGAAGCCAGCAUGGCAAAAGACACAAAAGUUAGAGGGCUUUGGUAAAUUAACUUAAUGUGGCUUAAUAAUUUGAUUUAAGUCAUUAAAAAGAUUAAAUAUGUUUAAUAAAAUAAUUUAAAAUCAUAACUUAAAGCAAAAAAAUAAUUUUAAGUAUUAAAUUAAAAUAGUUAAUUUAAAAGAUUUUUGAUAAAUCAACUUUAUGAUUUAAUGAUUUAAGUGGUAUUUGUUUUUUUAUUAAACAAAAAGAAUACAAAUAUUUAGUUUUUUCUAUUUAAUUAAAAGUAACAUAAUAAUAUCAAUUAAUAUGAUUAAAGUGAAUUUCUUAUCAAUAAGUUUAGUCUAAUUAUAUUGAUUGAUAUCAACAAGUUACUUUUAGUCGAAUAAAAAAAAUCAAAUAUUUUGACUUUGUUUAUUUAAUAAAAAAAAACAAAUACCACCUUAAUUUAAGUCAUUAAGUACAUUAAUCAUGUUUGGUAAAAUAAUUUAAUAUUAUAACUUAAAGUUAUUUUUAACUUUAUAUAUUGAAUUAAAAUAGUUAAUUUAUUCUUAAUCUUAAAUCUUUUUUAUCUUAUUUGCCCACACUAUGAAUAUAUUUUAAAAUUAUGAUUCUAAAUGCAUGACUCAGUUUUUAUAAUAAAUAUUUUAUUGUUAUUUUAUAUAUCUAUAAUAUUUUAAAUAUGAAUAUUUUAUAAAUAAAUUUAAAGCAUGAAUAUGAGUUUAAAUAAAAAAGGAUAACUAUUAGUUAAAAUCAUUGAAGGCAAAUGUAUCAAUUUAAUGAUUUAGAAUACAUUUUAGGUUAAUUUUAUCAAAUAAUCUUAAUACUUAAAGUAAAAAUAUAAAAAUAAGUUUUAAAUUAAUAAUUUAACUUAAAGUCAACCUAAGUAAUUAAAAAAUAAAUAUUAAUAAUUUUUACCAAAUAUCCACUUAUUCUCAAUCUUAAAUUCUUUUUACCUCCUUUGUCAACACUAUUUAGAGUAUAUUUUAAAAUUAUGAUUCUAUGUUUAUAAUGAAUUUUUUAUAAUAAAUAUUUUAUGGUUGUUUUACAUAUUUACAAUACUUUAAAUAUAGAUGUUUUAUAAAUAAAUUUAUUACUUAAAAUUAUAAAAAUAAAUAUAAGUUAAAAUAAAUCAGGAUAGAUAUGGGAAAAUUAGCAAGGGUAAAUGUAUUAAUUUAAUAAUUUUAAAUUAAUUUUAUCAAAUAAUUUUAAAUAAUAAAAUUUAAAUUAACAACUUAAAAAUAGUUCAACUUAAAAUCAAUUUAAAUUAUUAAAUUUUAUCAAAUACCCACUCGAGAAGCACAAAAUAAGAGAAGUUCACUACCUAGACUCAUGGCUAAUGUGGUCUUCUUGCUUAGAAAAAACAGAGAGUGGAGGAUGUGCAUUGAUUUAACUGACUUAAAUGGAGCAUGCCCUAAAGAUAGCUUCCAUUUCCCCGAAUUAACCAAGUGGUGGAUGCUGUAGCCAAACAUGAGCUAUUGACGUUGAUGGAUGCAUUUUUCUGGCUACACCUAAAUAGCCAAAACUCUCCUUUCGCACCACCCAAACAUUCAAACGUACCUCAGGAUGUUCAUGGAUAUUCCAACGGUUUCAAUGUCAAGAUCAAGUUGUUGGACACCAGCCCAGAAAAACUGAUAAGCAAGGUGGACGGAUAUCAAAGUUCAUGUCCAACAGUUUCAAUGUCAAGCUAAAGUCGUUGUACACGAGCCCGGAGCAGUUGAUGAGCAAGGUGGGUUAGUCCGAGUUCAGGUCUACAACGGCCCAAUAGCAAAGCAACAUAUUACUGCAAAGCAAAUUCUAGUGAAUGCAAUUAGCAUAUUGAUAAAUCCUAAAAAAUUGCAUACAUAGACAAUGUUAAUCAUCACCUUUCAAGGUACUCCAGUCAUAUAUAUAUAUGGUGAUACAUGGAUGUCUCAACGACUCGUAAAACUUGCUUCCAAGCUUUGUGUCGCCCCUGCAUUUGCUUUACCAAAUGAAACUGCACUGCCAGCAAACCAUUGACCCACCACAAACAUUGAUUCCACCAGUAUAAGAACCAGUACUUCCUCCUCCUUGACAUCCAAACAUACACUAGGAAGCACUAUAACCCAAGGAGGAUCACUUUUCAAAGAAAAAUGGCGGUGCAUUGUUGUUGGUACCAGGGGUCGCUCUUUCUCUUCUGUUUUUUUCUUGGGUUCCUUUGCUUUCCAGCUGAUGCAGCAGUAAAGAAGUAUCAGUUUGAUGUGAGUUCCUACUAUACAUAUUUCUUUUCCAUUCACAAAGGUUUCUCAUUCAUGAUCUUUCUUGCAUCUACAAACUGAAAUAUAAACUAACUGCUCUUCUGCUUCUCUGGGUCUCAGAUUCAAGUGAAGAAUGUGAGCAGGCUCUGCCAUGCCAAACCAAUUGUUACAGUAAAUGGGAUGUUCCCAGGACCUACCAUUUAUGUCAGAGAAGGAGAUCAAGUCCUCGUCAAUGUCACCAACCAUGCGCAAUAUAACAUUUCCAUUCAUUGGUGCAUAUAUUGAAUAUCCAUUUCCAUAUAUUGAUAUGUACGUUCAUUAGAUUUAGUUUACGUUCAUAUUCACAGAUGCAACUGUUUGUUUUACACAGGCAUGGCUUGAAACAAUUUCGUAAUGGUUGGGCUGAUGGACCGGCUUAUAUAACACAGUGUCCCAUCAAAACGGGGCACAGCUACACGUACAACUUUCAAGUCUCGGGUCAGCGAGGAACGUUAUGGUGGCAUGCGCACAUUUUAUGGCUAAGAGCAACAGUUUAUGGCGCCAUUGUCAUCAUGCCUAAACAAGGAACUCCAUUUCCAUUCCCUCAACCUUAUUUCGAGGCUAAUAUAGUCCUAGGUUGGCAGUCAUAUGAUGAUGAUGAUCACCUAGAAUUAUUUGAAAAUUUUUGAAGUGGAUUGAUGGUUUAACAUGCAGAAAUUCUGUGCAGGAGAAUGGUGGAGUUCAGAUGUUGAAACAAUUGUUAAUCAAGCUAAUAAAUUGGGGUUGCCACCUCCUAUGUCAGAUGCUCAUACUAUUAAUGGAAAACCAGGGCCACUCUUCCCAUGCUCUGAGAAGCGUAAAACCCUAAUCUCAACUCAUGCGCCACACCCCACCCCCCCACGACCCCCCUUUUUUUUUCCAAACCCAGAAAAAGAAAAUGAAAUCUCACGAAAAUAACUCAUUGUAAAGGUUUCUUCCAUUUAAUUUGCUUGUAACCUGACCUAGAUCUCUUACUUUGCUUUGUUCCAGAUACAUUUGCCAUGGAGGUUGAGUCAGGUAAAACCUACCUCCUAAGGAUCGUCAAUGCUGCACUCAAUGACGAGCUCUUCUUCGCAAUUGCUGGUCAUAAUAUGACAGUUGUAGAGAUUGAUGCAGUCUACACCAAGCCCUUCACAACCCAAGCUCUCCUAAUUGCACCUGGCCAAACUACAAAUGUGCUGGUUAAAGCUGACCAAUCUCCAAGUCGAUACUUCAUGGCAGUCAGGCCUUUCAUGGAUGCGCCAGUCCCCGUGGACAACAAGACUGCUACUGCAAUUUUGCAAUACAAAGGCAUCCCAAACACAGUUCUCCCAACCUUGGCCCAGCUGCCUGCUCCUAAUGACACCAACUUUGCAUUGAGCUACAACAGUAAGCUAAAGAGUUUAAACACUCCACAAUUCCCUGCAAAUGUCCCCCUUCAAGUUGAUCGCCAUCUCUUUUACACCAUUGGUCUAGGACAAAACCCAUGCCCCACUUGCCAAAAUGGAACACAACUCACUGCUUCACUGAACAAUAUAACCUUUGUGAUGCCUAAAGUUGCGCUUCUGCAAGCUCAUUAUUUCAAUAUUAAGGGAGUUUUUAGAACUGACUUCCCAGACCGCCCUCUUGCUCCAUUCAAUUACACAGGCGCACCACUUACUGCUAAUCUCGGCACUUCCUUAGGCACAAGGCUCAGUAAGUUGGCUUUCAAUUCAACCAUUGAAUUGGUAUUACAAGACACUAAUCUCCUGACCGUUGAGUCCCAUCCUUUUCAUCUUCAUGGUUACAACUUCUUCGUUGUGGGGAAUGGGAUCGGAAAUUUUGAUCCCAAGAAAGACCCAGCAAAAUUCAACUUGAUUGAUCCCCCAGAGAGAAAUACAGUUGGAGUCCCAACUGGAGGUUGGACAGCUAUCAGGUUCAGAGCUGAUAAUCCAGGUAAUCCAAUGCAGAAGUACUACAAGCAUCUGCGAAAACCACUCUAAAUAAGCAAUACAUGCACAAAUUUUGAAACAAGAUAUUCAUUCACUAUUUACAUUGGUCUGCAGGUGUUUGGUUCAUGCACUGUCAUUUAGAACUCCACACCAUGUGGGGGUUAAAGAUGGCUUUUGUGGUUGAGAAUGGAAAGUCGCCUGAAGAAUCUGUUCUACCACCACCAAAAGACCUUCCACCCUGCUAGAUGUUGCUUAACAAAGAAGAAAUCUUGACUGUCACUUGGGGAGCUUCAGUUUCUUCUAUAUGCCUCCCUUUUUCUAUUCUCCUGCAAAAGCUGCAGUAAUUCUUUGAGUAUGAGAAUCCAUAAUUUAAAUGAAUUGUUUUAUGAUUGUUUAGAGGUCUAGAUGAGACCUUUAUAUGUCAAUAAACCUCUAUCAAGGAAAUCGUCUUUUGAUUCACUAAUAUAUCUGUUCCUCACAACUUGGGUUUUGAGACUGCCAUGGCUUUACUACAGAAAUUAAAGAAGUGAUGCAACAAUGCCUUAAAAGGGUUAAUGCUCUCUACUGAAGAAAAUUUCAGAACUCAAAAUCCUAUAGCUCGCUAUAGUGCACCUAGGAGGAGUUCAAGAUGACACCACCAAAAGAAGUAUAAGAAAACAAAGGUUCUAUUCUCCCACAUCAAGCAUAACAAGAAAACCUUGGUAUAAAAGCAGCUUAUAUAGACUUGUCAGGCACUAUAAUCAAAACCUGUUACUACUUUGCAUUUCUCUGUCACUAUACUCGAAACCAGAGUAAAGGAACAACAACUCAUCAGGACAACUAUAUAUUCUACAUUAGAUGAAGAUUUUGAUCAGGUUCUCAAGGUACUAUUCAAUGAUGGAAGCCUUCUAUUUGGGAAAGAAAUAUAAUCUCCAGCAACAGGUAAAUUUUUAUGAAUUGGAACCACCAUUCAUACCCAAAGGAAAACUGACUGUAACAUAGCUGGAAUAUAUCAACUGACACCAGCUUAUGAGGAAACAAUACAGCAUUUGCACCAAAAGAAGUUCCUUUUAAGGAGAGCACCUGUUAUCAUUUGAGAAGAGCUUAUUCCUAGGCAUAAAAGACAAUCUAAGGGUCAUAGCACCUUCAAAAAGAAAGAAUAAUAGCAAACAAAACACUUGAAUUUGCACGGACAAGGAUUGAUUAGGAAUUUACAGUCACGCCAUGAAGUUACAGAAGCACAAAAUGUCAUUGUUACAAGAGUUGUAUAGCCAGUGAACCCUGAUUUAAACCAGCUAAAGAGGAGCAAGCUUCCCUUAGCCAUCCUGGCAUAUUCAUAACACCCUUCAAUCUACAAACACCUCAAAAACAGGGGCUAAAUUUACAAAAGAACAUAGUAAUCAGUUACCAACACGAACACAAGAUACCUAGUUCAAUAAUAAUUGAAGUUUAAGCAAGAUCCAUAGUCUAUUAUAUGAGAAAGCGCAAGUUUGUGAGAAUGCCACACAAAUCCUUAUCCAAGUCCUCCAAGAUUUGGAGGAUUUUCUCCUCUACGAAUAUCCAUACUGUGUGGCUUAUAGAUGCCAAAAAGGAUUGUUCAAAUUAAUACAUGAAUACUUAUUGCGAUCUCCUUUCUCCUAUUUUGAUGGAAGUUUACAAGCAUACAGAAAUUUGUAAGUGAAACAUGAGGUGAAUUACAAUAUACCUUCUAAACGAUGAUAUGGUAAUUUGAUUGUUAUCUAAUAUGCAACAAAAGGAAUUUCAUCUAUCUAGCAAUCAAAAUGUAUAAAAGGGAAAAAUAAAUAAGAUACAGUGAUGUUAUACUGUAAGUUUCAGUCUAAAAUAUUCAAUUGCCCAACUCACCAUGUUCAUGAUUUUGGUGCCCAUUUGAAGAGGAUAAUGGUGUCUUUACAUCGCACGGCCUUGAUUUUUUUGAAUUGCAACGUUGUGAUUUUUGCCUAAAAACCAACAUUUUGGGAAUGAUGUUCCAACUUCUCUUCAUCUUCACCAGCUUCUGAAUCUCUUGUUUCAUGCUCAAGCACUCUUUCUCAAGCUCCAAAACACGCUCUCUCAUGUCAUCAACACCAGCACCAUGAUCUUGUUCAGGGUCCACUUGAUGGGAACCAUCAGUUUUGGGGAUCCCAAGGUUGUCAUUGGGAUCUUGUGAGUUUGCAAGAUUGUCGGACACAAAGAACCAACCAGAAACUGUUGUUCGGAGGCGAAGCUGUUCAAAGAAGAGGACUUGGACAAUUACUCGGAGAGGUAGCCUCUCAUUCUGAGCAGCAUGGGUGCUGGCCUCUAAUGAGAGCUUCUGGCAAUUCAUGAGUCUGCAGAUCUGCUCUCUCUCCGAAUCUAUAAGCCAAGGAUGUGCCUGAAAAAUUGUGAUAUGUGUUAAGCAUUUAGCAUUUUCAGAACUAGACAUUGUCACACAUCAACGCAUACAUAUGCUGAUGUACUUGUUGAUAAUGUUCCCCAAUCCAAGCUAGCCCAUAUGCUAGCACGUGAUCCAACCCCUCCCUACACCAUCUGCAGCUUACCAUGGUUCAUAGUAGGCCGCUUUCCUGGUUCUGAUCCUAGAGCCAACAAAAGGAGUUUCACACAAUUUGCCAGCAGAACUAAAAAUAUUUUAUCUUAGUUAAUUCAGUUGACUGGCAAUUGCCAUCUGAUUAGACUGGAUUGAGACAUGAUCCCACAUUAUUUCAUUAAUUUCACUGAACAAAGGAGGAUUUUUAUUAAAUGUGAAGAUAAGAUAUAGCCAUUUCCAAGGUUCUCUUAUUUCAACAAACUUUUAUCAUUGUAUAUAAAAAUAUUCUAGUCAUUCCAGGGUUCUGUUUCAAUUUUUAUACAGGAAGCAUCAUGAACAUGGGAUUCGCCAAAUACUCUAGAUUUCUUUACCUUAAGGUAUAGAUCAAUUGCAUGGUAAAUGCUGUCAUUAACUGGUCUAGCAUAAUCAGGUACAGCAGCAGCAAGUGACUGAAAUUUUGGUAACUUCAAAUUAACAUCUGGUGCCACCUCAGCAAGAUAUCCAUCCACCAGAUUGGCCACCAACAUCACAGGUGUCAGGAAAUCAGGCCCAUCCAUCAACUUUCCCUCCUCAACUAUACAUGGAGAAGCUGUUGCAACUGCAGUAUUCUCCACUGACAUGAAAUGAUCAAGAAUCCUCUGAACACAGUCUAUAUCAUAGAGGGUUUCUACUGAAUAACCCAUAUUUGGUAUAAGAAGAUCCUCAAGUACAGCUUGGUCCAAUUGGGCUCCUACCCUCCUCUCCAAAUUUUCUCUACAUAAUGAACUUGUAUGCAAGAUCAUAGCUGUUCGGAGCAGCCUAAGAAGAAACUUAGUCGAUGUGACCCCCUUCUGAUUAGGAAGUAAAUCCACAAUAUCUUCUAGGAGAGCCCUUUGAUCUGCCUCAGAAGGAGUGGGAAUGGUUGUCCCUGGGUUGACAUGAUUUGUAUCCUUGAAGCUAGAUUGUCUAUUCAUCAAGGGGAGAUACCUCUUAGCAUAGAAAAUGAGGGAGCCAGCAACUCUCUCAGGCUUCAUCCCUCUCAAUUCAACAGCUUGCAUCAUUCGUUUAUAGAAAGGUAAACUAAGGAAGGACACAUCUCCAUACCACCAAUCUUCACGCACUGAUUGUGGCUUAUUCACAGUAGAUAUUCCAUUCCAUAAGACGACACCUGCUGGACUCUGCACAUUGGUACAACCUGACACAGGCCAACCAAAUAAGGUUGGGUCUGCACAAGCUUUCAUUGCCAAUGAAUCGAUGCAUCUUGAAACAAUAUGAAGAUCCUCAGCAUAUGGUAGAACUUCACAUGUUCCAAGAGCUUUUAUUGAGUCCACCCAAUUGCUGAAAACUUCAUUGAGGAAACCCUCUGUUUGUGCAAUAAGAUUUCCCUCGCCGUAAUUUUCAUUCAUUUGAAGGUACUCUGCCGCACACCUAAGGCUGACUAUGUUCAAAGAAGUGAGCUCUAUUUUAACACCAUAGCAAAAUUUUGUUACAAGUUCAAAUGCCUUAGCCCCACCAGGUAAUUCAUGAAGUUGUAAAACACAAUGGGAUCCAUCCUCAUUGGAGCAAUUUUCUAUAAGCUUUUCCAGUAAACCACUUCUUGAAAGCAAUGGAAACUGAAAGAAAUGCCAAAACAGGGGCGAAUAAAAUUCAGGUGAAAAUGAAAAUUUGCAUGCUAGUCAUAGAAAGCACAUGCAUAAAUAAAGUCCACAUAGAAACCAAAACACAGCAACAAUGUUAAUGGUUAAUGAAAGCCAGGUAGAAAAAGAUUGCACCUUGUGGAGAUUAAAGGACAUUUCACCAAUUUCAACAGCAACAUCGCUUGGAAGUCCAGUUGUGCAAAACCUGAGAUCAUGAUGAUGCUUCAUUAAAAUACAGAAAAAUCCUACUGGAACAGCAUAGUUCAUGGUAACAAAAUAAAUUAUUCAAUCAAACCACAUAGAUGCUAAGGGAAAAAGUUAUAUAGUUCAUGAACCCCAUAAUCCCAUUGAGCAAGGGCUGUGAUUCCUUUUAUUAUCACAACAAUCCAGUCUUCUAUUCUUGCAGAUGGUGAUGAUCAAAAUGCACCCCUCAAAAUAAUCUCAGACAGAUUAUCACAAGCAGUUAAUGUGGUAAUCUUCUGAACCUCAUUGUCUGAUGUGCAACUGUUAAAUGGUGGUUGAACCAUCCUGGUUAUCGAUUGUACAACCUCAAGAGUCAACCAUUAGCAGUACAAAGUUGUGGCUUUAGCAAGUGAUAUCUGCCAGUGGAUGAUAUGGAAUCAAAAUGCCACACAAGAUACUUUGCAAAUAUAUAUGCCAAUCAAACUCAUAUCUGCCAGGCAGCUAUAAUGGUAAUGUCAAAUUGCAGUUUUGAAAUAUUAAUAAAGUCAUUAUACUAAAUCUGAAAUUUACAAAAUCACCGGAUAGCAGUAUGAUAUCAGUACAUCAAACCCAGUCCUCUGGCCUGGACCCUUCUAUCAACUUUCGACUAUUUCAAACAAUCACACUAUUAUCUAGGGUCCAACAAAAUUUUCUCCCUCUUCCUCUCCCUUCACCCAAACAGGAACCGUAUUUUGCUACACCCCAUUGAUGUCCAUAUGAUUGUGGGUUCAUUUUUGUAGCAUGCCUACUCAAUUCUUCACUUCUGUUUCAAUGUGCUUAUGCUUGAAAUAGUACGUACCAUUAAAAAAAAAGCAUAGAAAACCCUCUGAAAUAAAGAAAGAAGGAAUAUGAUCAACUUUUUAUUCAAUGAUUUAGAUCCCAUAAAUCAUACAGCUCAACUUCAAUCUUAGAAACUCUGUAAGUGACAACUGUGUUUUAACUUCAAAAUCAGACCAUUUAGGCUUAGUUCAAUUGCCCAGAACAAACAAGACAAUGUUCAAGUAAACUUCUUGCCUUUUUCGUAGUGCGGUGGCAAGAAACUUCAUAUGAUACAUAUUCUAAAUAUUCAUAUUCAAAUUCAAGUAACAAAUUCCCAAAUGUCGUAUUUCAAAAAAGGAAAAUUGAAGCACACCCACAUCAGAUUUCUUGAUUUAGCAUUUGGAUUAAAUACCUAAAAAACCAAAUAAAAAGGAAAGAAAGAAAUGGAGGUUGAUGAAGUUUACCAGGUAUGGCCUUCACGGUGAAAGGCUUCAGGUUUAGAGCCCAGCUUCAUGCAUGCCAUGUGUUGUUGUCGUUCUGAAAUGGGCAUAGCGUAGAACAUUGAAUGAGAUCAUGAACACAGCGAAAGUGGAGAAAAAGAAUGAGAAAGAGAAAGCGAAAGAGAAAAGAGGAGUUCCGAGUCUACAGGAAUAGGUAAAGGAGAGAACGAAACAUUCUGUUUCAAAUCUCCUUGGAUUUCUCCGCCCUCUCCACCUUCGAUUUUCACUCACUUUUACUCUAGUUUUUGCCAUCUCACCAUUUACAUGUUGGUCCUAUUACCCCGACUCCAUCUUCCAUGGGAUUUACGUGAAUAAUUAGAAUUAAGCCAAUAAAAAAAAAAAUUUUAUUGGACCGGCAGUAUUGUGGUAUGAGAAGGAACAUAGUCAUCAUAUUCGAAAGGCAGCUUGAAUAAUCAAAUUCCUGAAGGAAUUUGGGUCAAUUAUAGAACUUGACUAUAUUAAGAUAACUCUCGAAUGUCCUCACACAACAUAUUAUCGUAUGAAUUUGUUUUGGGUGAAUGGAUGGAGGCGAGUUUAUGAUCAGUCACUACAGUAUGGGCCACCUUAUAUUUGGGUCACCCUUGUCAGGCCCGUUUCCAAUUCGGUCCAGAUCAAACCACCUUCUUAAACCGUUUCAACGACGUCUCCGAGUACUGUACUGUACUUCUCAAAAAGCAAACACAGACAGCUGAAAUUAAUCAAUUAUAAAACAUUGAAAUAGGGGAACAGGUGUUGUGCACCAACGGGAUGGGCCCUCAAUCUGAAUGAAUAUAAUGCGCCCACAACACCACGGAUCCAGCGUUCCAAGCCCAUGGGUUUGGGCAUAGAGCGCGGUGGCCUUUGUGCGUAUUAAUGUGUGAUGUGAAGUUGUGAUUCUUGUGAACGGCCAAUGGGAUGACGGCGCCAGCAUCGGCAGCCGAAGCGGCAGCGCAGCCGCCUCGGCCACUGUGUCAACACGUGUAUGAUUUAAUGUGGCUACCACCGUGGCACCCGCCACCCGUCUCAUCAAAGGAGCCGACGCACCCGAUUGCCUGCAAGUACAACUGCCACAUGCCCUCGCUUUUAAUUUCCUUUCUGUUUCGGGUUCACCCGUGAGUCCGUGACUCAACACCUUUCACCUUGUGUUUAUUUCUUUAAUAAUAUUUAAUUCGCAUGGAAAUUAUCAUAGAAUGGGUUUAUUUUUAUAUUUAUAUUUAAAUUUCCUUGUUUUAUUGUAUGCUAUAAAUUUAACUAUAGGAAUCAUAUCGUAGCUAUAAUGUUGUUUGGGACUACAAGCUUUUGAUCCUAUUAGAAAAGAGAAUACUACUGUUUGGAUGAAUAGAAAUUAUUCACAACCCAUCCCUUUUUUGGAAGCCAAAAUUAGAGGAGAAAAUAAGUCUAAUUAAGGUUCAGUCCAAAUACGACAACACAGGUUAGAGAUGCUCUAAAAACAGGAAAAUAAUGUAAAGCUAAAGGAGAUUAGGCCUGGAGGUGGAAUCACGGACAGGGCAAAAAUGAAAGGAAAUGAAAUGGGUAGGGGAGGGGAGAAAAUGGCAAAUACUGAUUCAUUUAAUGGAGUGACUGACUGACUGGGGAAUCCCAAAUGGCAGUAGAAGAGGAAGGUAUUGAGGGCAAAGGCCGAAGGGGCAGCGUUGAGACAGAGAUUCGGGAAGUAAGCGAGGGGGUUGGAGGAGGGGGGCCGUCACAGUCUUCACGUGGGGGCAGAUAUCCCUUGACAAGGGGACAUCAAACCCCACGUCAUCUUUCAUCAUCCUCUGACACGUGGAAGAUUCCCCCAGCUAGUCAACUUCCACCCAUUCCCACACCAACUGCCUACUUUUUGUUGUCUUGUAGCUGUCACCAUAGCCCGCUCCUUUGUCUUUUUUUUUUUUUUUCUUCUUUUUUUCUUUCCUCUCACAUCAGACAUCAACCCCCUCCCCACCAAAUUAUUAAUCAUGUAUAUUUAUAUACAAUUAUUAUCCGCUUCAGUCUACAAAGUACAAACUAAUCGUAUACAUCCAAUUUCCUUUUUCUUUUUACUUUCAAAAAACAAAUAAUAUUUCCAAAAACAAUAAUUUGUGGUAGCCUGGCCCCUGAUGUGGGUGGGUUAGGUGGCCUUAAGGGAGUGAAGAGCGUGUGCAUAGUAAUGGAUGUCUUGAAAGGAAUAUGGAUAGGGGGUCCACCCUAAUGCCCAGGGAGUGGGGCAGGCGUUUGAAGCGAGUUUUAAAGAUGGAAGAGAAGAGAUGUCCGGAGUGGUGGGCUCAAUUUGGUUCGCUUUGUUGUUUCUUCUCCAACCAUUCUCAUCUCAUCUCAUUCCUUUGUAGGCCCCCUUGCAGCUAUUGUUUUUGUUCAUCCGUCUCCAUCUCUCUGCCCCACAACAAUCCUCACGGUUAUUAAAUAUUUACCCCAUUAUAUGAGAUCAUAGCACCCCCUUCAUUUAUUUCUGAUUAGUUACAGAGGUCUUAGCAUUCUACAAUGACAAUAAUAGAUUGAAAAACUAAACUAAGAUCUUUUUUUGUAUCCAAGGUCUAAAUUAAUUAGACAGAUGUAUGAGCUACGCGAUCUUCGAGCUCGAAAUUAAUAACCUUACCUAAUAUGAUAAUUUAUUGAACCCCAAUUGGUUGGAGACCCUAAAGUACGAACCCAAUCUCAGCUUCGAGCAAACCUUUCAAAAAAGGAAGGGUUCGAGAGGAGAGAUUUUAAGGGAACAACGUGAAGAAAUUAUGAUAGGUUGAGCAACCUUAAUCAUUGUGGCCAAAGCUCCUACCUACUCUUUUUGUUACUCUUAAUUUUGAAAUGACAUCAUAAUACAGACUUUUUAUUUGAAAGAAAAUAUGAAUAAACUUUUUCUUAUUUAUUCAAUUUUAUUUUUUUUAAGAAAAUAUGAAUAAGCUUAGCUUUUUUUUUUCUUUUUUUUUUUGUUAUGGUUUAAAAAUUAUUUUAGUAGAAUAUUUAUUGGAUGUAUUUUUUCAAAUAUAUUAUUUUUGCUCAAAAAUCCAUGUCCGCAUUCCAUUUACCCGACAAAGGUGAAACAGCCAAUCAAGUUUCCGGAGUAGAUUCAGUACACAGUGAGUAGCGUGCAAGCACGCGCUUCAUGAAAGCGUGAGUGGGAAGCAAUGCCUUCCACUCUUCCCUGCAAAUAGAAUGGACUGACAGAGAGUUCCAGUUAACCUCUACCUUCUCGAAGGUUAAAAAACUAACCCAGGUCCCAGGCUAAACAGUCAACCGUAGUUAAAUAAGCCUGGAAACACGUAACUAGGGUUAGAAUCUCCAGUUAAGGACUGCUUUGCUUUGAGAGAAGUAAGACCAAAAGCUGCCACUCCCCAAAAAAUCCCGAUAAGUGGUCAAAAUACCACGAUACGAUCAACCUCAAGCGAUAAAAGUGGGAAAACAAAACAGCCCAAUCCAAUCCAAUUUUUUUAUGAGUAACAGAAUUGAGAAACAAAUAUUUUAUGAAGUAAAAAGAACAAGGAAAGCAAAAACAAAUGGGAAAAAGGUGAAAAUGGUUUUGCUUUCUUUAAGAUCUUUGUUGGUUUGCUGGCUUAGCAAGAUACACAGUUUCUCCAGAUCCGAAGAAAAAGGUAGGAAAUAGAAAAUCAGGUUAAAAAAAAAUUAUUAUUAAUAAUUAUAAAAAAAAAUGAAGGUACUACUUCUUGCUCUGAGUUCUGAUAUUUUUAACCUUUUCUGUGCUGUGGCUUUGGACUUUUGUAUGAUCCAAAAGGCAUUGAAUGAAUCUUUGAAAACUUUUACUCUCUCUUCUCUCUCUUCUCUUCUCUUCUAUAUUGCUUUAGCUGAGUGGAUUUUCCUAUGCUUUAUCUGCCUUGUCGGUGAUUGUUAUCAAAGCCUCAUAAAACAAUAAAUCAGGAUUUUGGAAUUGUUUUGUUGUUUUUGUUUUUUUGUUUUUGUUUUUAAGCAGAGGUUUGUGUGUAGUUAGUGGUAGUUGAAGGACACCGAUUAUCUUUGUGUUCUCCUCUGGAGUGUGUUUCGUGCGUGUGUGUGCCGACUCUGGAUCUUGAUGAGUCAUUUUUCCCGACUCGGCUCGGGAAUCGCUGAGUCGGAAACGAUUUGAGGAUCGGCUGGGCUGAGUUGUGGGAGCUUGGGUUGAUGAGCCGAGGGAGGAAGGAGCUAGGGUUUGGACUCUGUAACUGUGUGAUUUGUGGAGUUGAAGCGAUGAGCGGAAGGAAUGCUUUUUUAUUUCGAGAGUUGUAGGGUUUUUCUGCUGAGUUUCUUUCUUUCUUUUGUUUGUUGUGUUUGUUGAUGAUGAUUGAAAUUGUUGAAGUGGGGAAUUGAAGUGAAUGAAGGUUUAUGAUUUUGUGGUUUGGUCAAGAUUUUGUGGAAUUGUACGUGUUUUAGGGUUUUCUUGAAAGAGAUCGAGAGGAAAGUUCUUGUUAAAAUAUAAUUCUUGUUGUGGUUUGGAAUAGAGUGCCCGAGUCUAUCUUAGUUUGGCGGGGAAGGUCCUAUUUUUGGUUCUGCUUUGAUCGGAUGCUUCAUAAGGUAAAGAAAAAUUUUCAGAUGAAAAUUUAUUAUGUUGUGUACGAUUUGUUUUCUUCUUCCUUACUGUUGAUUAAAUCAUAAGAAGCCUAAAUCUUGUGACGUCUGUGGCAGGAAGGAGCUUUUAUGCAUUGAAGACUGUUGAUUACUAUCACAACAUUGAUUGAAAUGAUUCCAUUUUUGGGUUCAAAAGAGAAAUCAAAGGAGGCGGGGAAGUGUUUAAAUCCUCAACUCUGGCAUGCUUGUGCCGGAGGAAUGGUACAAAUGCCUCCUGUGAAUAGCAAGGUCUUUUACUUUCCCCAAGGCCAUGCUGAGCACGCAUGUGCUAGUGUGGAUUUCAGGAAUUACCCAAGGAUUCCGGCAUACAUACCCUGCAGAGUUUCUGCAAUGAAAUUCAUGGCAGAUCCUGAGAGUGAUGAGGUUUAUGCGAAGAUUACUCUGGUUCCGUUGAAUGGUAGUGAGAGUGAUUAUGACGAUGAUGGAUAUGGAAAUGGAACAGAGUCCCAAGAGAAACCUGCCUCUUUUGCAAAGACAUUGACACAAUCCGAUGCCAAUAAUGGUGGGGGCUUCUCAGUUCCACGAUAUUGUGCGGAGACUAUAUUUCCCCGCUUGGAUUACACUGCUGAUCCUCCCGUACAAAACAUCCUUGCAAAGGAUGUGCAUGGAGAAACGUGGAAAUUUAGGCAUAUUUACAGAGGGACUCCACGGCGUCAUCUAUUGACAACGGGAUGGAGCACUUUUGUUAACCACAAGAAGCUUAUAGCUGGGGAUUCAAUUGUAUUUUUGAGAGCAGAAAAUGGGGAUCUUUGUGUUGGAAUUCGAAGAGCAAAGAGGGGAAUUGGAUGUGGACCGGAAUCAUCUUCUGGUUGGAACCCAGCUGGUUGUAACUAUGUCAUGCCAUAUGGAGGAUUUUCAGCAUUCCUGAGGGAAGAUGAGAACAAAUUGACAAGAAAUGGGAAUGGUGGCAGUUCAGGCUCCAAUGGGAGUUUUUUUGGCAGGGUAAAAGUGACGGCUGAAGCCGUUAUUGAAGCUGUGAGACUUGCUGUCAAUGGGCAGCCCUUUGAGGUCAUCUAUUACCCACGAGCUAGCACGCCAGAAUUCUGUGUGAAGUCUUCAUUGGUGAAGUCAGCAUCGCAGAUCCGGUGGUGUUCUGGGAUGAGGUUCAAAAUGGCUUUUGAAACUGAGGAUUCUUCACGUAUAAGUUGGUUUAUGGGGACUAUCUCCUCUGUUCAGGUUGCUGAUCCCGUCCGCUGGCCUGAUUCACCUUGGAGGCUUCUCCAGGUAUUGUCGUCUCUCUUGUUUAUGCAUUUCUAUUUACUGUAAAAAGCAAAAACGAAAAAAAAAUGAAAAAGAAAAAGAAAAAGAAAAAGGAAAAAUAUAUGGUCCCUGAACGAAGGUGCCAUGUUUCCCCUUGUUUCUGUUGCUUUUUUUCCCUUUUUUUAUUCUGUUUUAAAGUUUUGCCAACUCUGCUCUCCAAAUGAUUUCUCAUCCUGAAGAAAGCUUUUUUUGAAGUUUCAAAUUAUGAAAGAGAAGAAAAGAAGAGAAUUAUCCUUUUUUGGCAGUUCACAUCCUUUGUAGUUUAUUGAAAAUAAUACAGCAUAUAAAGGUUCAAAUUUCGUUUGUCUUCAACAUGCUCUUGCUACGACUUGCCAUACGGAGACAACUGUUUUUGGGUAAAUAAUUUUUUUUUUUUUCUCUCUAGUUAUGCAAAUGCUGAUAUCACGGACCUGGGCUUGAAACCAUCCUUCCGUAUAUCAUACAACCACCUCAUUUACUGUUAUAUAUUGUCUGGGAGGUUUUAUUUGUAUCAGAUGCUGCUCAGUACUUGCAUCAGAUACUGCUCAGUAAUAAUAUGUUAGCUAUUUAACUGGAACCAGAGUGUGUUAUAUGGUACUGGGAAUCUUUGGGUCAUGAAUCUCAAUGGUCCAUUAUCUUAUUAUUGAAUUGGUUCUCUGUUUAAGUUUAUAAUGCAUAAAUUCGGGUGUCUAUUCUGUUCUAAAAUUUUUCUCUUCCUGGAUGUUUCUGGUGCUAUGCUGUUGUGUCGCUUCUUACACUACUCUGUUCUGAGUAGAAUUCUAAUGCUAUUGCAGUAGAUUGCAUCUUCCUUAGCACCAAGAAUCUUGUGCACCAAGUUUUUAUAUUUCUUGAACCAUUAAUGGUGAAAGAUCCUCAAAUUUUUGAGAGCACAUACUUCGAUUAGCAAAGUUUCAAACAAAGUAGAAUGGAGGCUGUUUUGAUUCAUGGAGAGUCUCAGAUACACAUCCCUAUAAGUUGUGCAAAGGGCAUUAAUAAAUGUUUUUAUGCACAUACCUAGAGAAGAUGUCUUUGUAACCUAGUAAUGGUUCAGAUCUAUGAAGUUCUGCUCAGGCUACCCUAAAGAAGUACUCAUAAGGUUAUUCUCAAUUGAGGUUUCCUGGGAGAUUUAAUACAAUUUUUAAACAGACUAUAAAAUAUCUUGAUUUUGUAUCGCCAUAGGGCUAGUAAUAGUUACAAGUAUUGAACAAGACCAGUACAUUGAUCCACCUACCGGAGGGCUCAGCUUAGAACCUCCCAGUUAAUCUCUUUUCUCCCAUAUCACCCGGACUCUUUGGUUUCAAUCUCUUUUCUUUUCUUUUUCUCCCCUGGACUUGGUUGCCUUACAUUUCCUCUUUGAGUUUCUACAAAGUUAAUGAUAUAAUCUCUCUGUUCCCUCCCCUCUCAUCUGCUCUUAAUAAUUUGUUGAAGUAAAUAUGUUGCAGGUGACAUGGGAUGAACCAGAUCUGCUUCAAAAUGUGAAACGCGUCAGCCCAUGGCUGGUAGAAUUGGUAUCCAAUAUGCCAUCCAUCCAUCUGACCCAUUUUUCACCACCGAGAAAGAAGCUGAGAUUCCCACAAUACCCAGAUUUCCCCCUUGAUGCCCAAUUUUCAAUGCCAACGUUUUCCAGCAACCUUGUAGGGCCAAGUAACCCCUUUGGUUGUUUAUCCGACAAUAUUCCUGCUGGCAUGCAGGGAGCCAGGCAUGCUCAAUAUGGUUUAUCUUUAUCUGAUCCCCAUCACAAUAAAUUUCAGUCAGGUCUGUUUCCAGCACCUUUCCCACAGCUCGAUCAUCCUGCCACACCCCCUAAAGCCUCCAAUGAUUAUGUUAGUCGCAAACGUAGCAGCAGUGAAAAUGUUUCUUCCUUGUUAACCAUUGCACAAUCUACAGAGACUUCAAAGAAAUCCGAUGAUAGAAAGACAGGAUUUACACUUUUUGGUCGAUCAAUACUAACUGAGCAACAGAUGUCCCAAAGCUGCUCUGGUGAUACGGUCUCACCAGUUAUUACUGGGAAUAGUUCAUCAGAAGGGAAUCAAGAUAAGAUGGCAAAUUUUUCUGAUGGUUCUGGAUCUGCACUUCAUCAACAUGGCCUUCCAGAGCACUCAUCCUGUGAAGGGUACCAAACAUACAAGGUUAAUCACCGUGAAACCGAGCCCAACUUGGAGACUGGUCACUGUAAGGUUUUCAUGGAAUCUGAGGAUGUGGGUCGCACUCUUGAUCUUUCAUUACUUACAUCUUAUGAUGAAUUAUGCGGCAAGCUGGCAAAAAUGUUUACUAUAGAAGAUUCUGAGAUGCGGAACCAUGUGCUCUAUAGGGAUGCAACUGGUGCAGUCAAACAUAUCGGCGAUGAACCAUUUAGGUGAGAGUUGUUUUGCCUGUUGCCCCCCUCAUUCUUCCUGUUUCAUCUCUUGACCACAUUUUUUUUUAUUUUUUUUGGCAUUUUGAUAAAUGAGUGUAGGGAUAUAAUCUCUUAGCUUUUUUGAAAGAGGACCAAUGUUUUCAAAAAUCAAACUAACUCUUUAUUUUCCUUUGUCUGACAUUGCAGUGACUUCACAAAAACAGCGAAAAGGUUGACAAUUUUAAUGGAUUCAAGCAGCGACAAUGUAGGAGUGUAUAGAAAAUAAGAAACCUCAAUUGUCAAAUGUACAGCUGGAUGACCAAAUCCUUUGUUCCAUGCUGACCUUUUUAUCCUUCCUAGGGUUGGGGAGAUGGGGAGCUCGUUUGAUGCAGUUUUGGACUUUCCAGUAUAAAGCCUCCCAGAUUCUUGUUUUUUCCACAACUGAGGAAGCAAUCUUUGAAUUUUGGAAUUUCCCUUAAAAUAAAUGCAUUAGUUCAAUCAGCAAAUUUGUUGGUAGUCUGUUCUAUUGUAUUAUUCAGACAAUGCUUACAAAUACAAGUUAACAAGUGCUUGGGUCGAAAGGCUUUUGAGAAUGAAAUUAAUGCAUACAAGUCUUCUAAGCAAAGCUAGCAAGCAGCACAUCAGUCAUAUAUACUGUCUGAGGUGCUGCUUUCUUGAUCGUCCUCCUGGUUUAUUUUGUGUAAACAUACUUUAUGGUUGCCCAUACAAGUUAUCUUCCAAUUUCUUGUAUGUAUUUAAGAACAAUAAAACACCUCUCUACCCUGAUUAUAUAUAUUGAUAUGUCCAUUGUCAGGCUUUCUUGGAAGAGACUGUCAGUGUCCAAAUGCCUUACUGAUGUAAAUGAGAUUCAAUUUUUAUAAUACCUGUGGGUGGCCCAUGCUAUUGGGGGUUUUUAAUCUUUGAAAUUUGUUCCAUGGAUUGAGACUAGUGGGGCUGGGGAAAACCGGUUUCAAAAGGUCCUUCCAGGUUAUAACUGUGUGAGUUUGACCAAAUUGGGUUUUGGGUUGUUAAGAAGAGGUUGUUUAAAGGGGAAACAGAUUCUCAAGGAUUACGGAAAUGGACUUCUGAUCAGUAGGUGAGCAACACGUGUGACAAAUUCUCAAACCUGCCCAAAAUAUGGAAGAAAAAGCCAAAAAAAAAAAAGAAAAAAAAAGGAGGGGGGUAGAUGGGUGUGAAUGGCACAAGUCACACCAUCACAUGAUAAGCCUAUUAUUAUUAUUUUGUGUUUGCAACAACUUUCAAGUAAAUGUCCCCGCAAGUGUUGGAUUAAGUUAUAGGGAUUGCAACAAAGAUUAGUCAAAUCCAAUAGCUAAAACAACAGGGAAGAGCUGGAAACCACAACACAUUCUAGGCGGCCGCACGUGAGGCACCCACGUGGGUUGUGGGGUCAACAGCAAUAAUAGAUUCACGUGUGGCUUCAAGGUUCAACGUCACCCCCAAAAAGUGCAUAUGUUGCGGCGUUUGAAUUACAGGGCUGUUGCCGUUUUUCCAGGAAAAUUGUUUGUUGGUUUUCCCUCCAAUGUGAUGCUGAGGUGGAUAUUUAUUGAUUCCACAACUAAUCUCUACUUGCUCCCUCCAUUUUAUAUUUGCAAGUGGGCUCACGGGGGUAAAUUAAUCUGAAACUAAAAUGAAAAUCCAUGGUCAAGGACUCCAGGGUGGGAAUUUGGGAAGGAGACACUCCCAUUUCCAAAGCUUUGUUUCACUCAUGUUUCUUUGUUUUCAGUAGUCAUGCUUUCUCCACCCAAACCCUCCCUGGGGUUUCGCUUGCCUUCACAAUUACGUCAACUCGUCAACCGACUCCUCCUUUCUUUUCUUUCCCUAACAAGCCAACACGGAAACACCCAAAACGAUGAGAAAGCUGCCGUUUUGAGAGAUCCAAGUCACGCGAAAAGGGGCACGCUAUCUGGGACAAUUACGUCAUCAGCAUUGAAUGAGAGUGAGAUUUUUUGUCCUUUUUGACUUUUCCUUUUCACCUCAUUUUUUCAAGUGGUCCACGCCAGAUUAGUGUUAGACGUGUCCUUUUCCUCCACUGCCCUUCCCGAAAAACCCAACUUCUCGUCUACUUAUAUAUCGCGUUCAUUUCAAAGUUUUUGUACUUUUAAUUUUCAGAAAUUCCCUUCGUCUUAUAAUUGCGAUAACUGACGAGAGAAGUCGUGGGCGGUAUCCUAGAUUGCGCAUAAGAUUCCCACAAAGCCUAAUAUUGCGUAUAGAAUAAUAUUUCUUUUAUUUUAAGAUAAGUAAUAAAAAUGAUUGCGUUUGAUAAUCAUGAUGGUGACAGAUUUCAUGGACUUGUGUAACAAAUUUGAACAUUUACAAAAAGUUAGCAGAGGAUGCCCGUGCCCUUAGUCUAUUUUCGGCAGUUAGGUACUAUAUACGAACGGAGUUAUAACUUUUUACUUCAUUCACUGUCUCAUAGAUUAGGACUCGUAUAAUGUUGAAGAUUAGAUGAUGGAGCCAUGGACCCACGAGUUUGAACUUGAUCAUAAUUUAUACCUUUCUUUUUUUUUUUUCCCUUGACACGAAAGCGUGGUCUUUGAAUGAUACCGUCCUGGAAGAAAGCUAUAUAAAAGGAUGAUUGACUAAUUUCCUUUAAAAAAAAUGAAAUUUCAUGAUUGAUUGAGAGUAAGAUGACUCCUUUCUCAUAAUAAUAAUAUUGGGAGAUAUAGGUCGAUAGAGUGUAACACGUGAGGAUGACUUUAAUGCAGCUAAUGGGAUAGAGAAAAACAAAUUGGUGGAGAGAGCGGAGAGGGUGACCACUCUACCUCUCUUUUUCCUUGUUUUUUUCCAACCCAAUACGACACUGAUUCCAACUGCCCACGCCCGUGCGGUGGACCCCCGUCCCAACGGAUACUGCUUUCACCACGUCAUUCUCCCUAAUUUCCCCUCCCCUGGGCCUCCCUUUAACUUUAACUUUAACUUUUGCAAGAGGCCUGCCCCACCUCAUGCUAGGUCCGUCCAUCACUCCCCGGCCCACACCCACUUCUAAAGCUCGGAUUUUAUUGCUUCUCUGAGUUAUACCAUGAGUUUCACGUGUACCGCUACUGGGGGUAAUGGAACUUCGGCUGGGCUCGGCUGAGCAAAGCUGUCAAUCCCAAGACAGGUGGUUGGACUUGGGCCAGCCCAGUGUAGGCCAUGUCUUUUCAUGGCUUGGGCCCCAUUUUACCAGGAGUGUACAAAUCAAGGCCCACCCCGGCUCACAUGUGUUAACACUGUCGGCCCAACUCAAAUUAGAGCACAAGCGGGGCCGUACAUGAUUUUAUUUUCGAAUAUUUUUAAAUAGGUAAUUUUCCAAAAAUAUUUCUAAAUAAAACAUUUGAAAUGCUUAUCCUAAAGUGUCGUAUGGACGUAUGUAUCCAUGGUCGUGCUUUAUUAUGAUAUUGAUAGUAUGGAGGUUCUCUUAUAAGUAGUUACACUUUCAUUGUAGUGUUGUAUAACAUUAAAAUUAUUAAAUCAAUUUGAUAACUUAGAAUGACUUAAUAACUUAAUUUAAAUUAUUAAGUAAAUUAAUUAUAUUUGAUAAAAUAACUUAAUGGCAUGAUUUAAAGUAAAAAAAUUAUUUUAAAUAAUAAAUAAAAAUAAUUAACUUAUUUUAAAGUUUAUAUAUUCAUUUUAUUUUUUUAUACCACUAUUAUUGCUCAACUUCUUUUAUCCUAAUUAUAAUUUAGGAAGAUAAAUAUUUCAAUUUGAUGAUUUAGAAUAAAUGUUAAAUUAAUUUUAUCCAAUAGUCUUAAUACUUAAAGUAAAAAUUAAGUAAUAAGUUUUAAUUCAACAACUUAAGUAUAAUUUAAAUUAAAGUUAACUUAAAUAAGUAUUAAGUUUUACCAAACACCCUCUUAAUCUAAUAUUAUGUCAAUUACCCUUUAAAUAUGUUGUAAUUUUUUUUCUUUAUAAAAUAUUAAGAUCAACUUUGUUCAAAAUGGAUAAAAUUUGAGAAUAUAUAUGAAAUUAACAGAAACCACACUCAAUUCAUAUUCAUUAAUACAAUUGACAAUAUUUGAAAAAAAAAUUAAAAUUCAUAUUCCCCUAAAGAAAGAAAAAAUUAGGGUAGAUUUGGCUCAUUUCUCCUAAAGUUUAGGUUAAAUAUACUUAGUUAUCAUAAGUUUAAAAUUUUAUCAAAUACUUUUCUUAUUUUGAAUCAAAUGAGAAUAGAGAGAAAAUAGCAAAUGAAACGGAUAGAAGAAGGAGAGGUAUUUGAAUCUAUGUAUAUUUAACCCAAUCCUUAGGAAAAAUGAGUGAAAUUAAUCAAAAUAAUAAUAAUUUGUUCACUAGCAUCUCAUCUGGUUUAUUGCUACCCAUCUUUCUCUUUUUGGCCCACCUCAACCCAGUUCAAGCCCAACAGGCCAUUCUAACCAAAAAUAGCUUCGGCCCAACUGUUUGACUACGAGUCCAGUGGAGGUUGGUAAAAAAACUGUCCUUAUUUGAACCACAAUGAAAAAAGCAGGGAACAUUCGAGAGGAAAAAUCAAACAUCAAAUAUGGUUGUCAUGACGUCAUAUUUACACAAGGUUUUUAAUCAUUAAAAUUCUAAAAUAAAAAAAAAAAUCAUUGCUAUCAUUUGAAAUUUAUGUUUUAAAUUCAAUUAAACAAUUUUUAUUAAUAAAAUAAUGCGCCCUAAAUACUUCUAUCAAUUAGUUGUACAAAUACACAAUUCAAUUAAUCAAAUUCUUUUACAUAUAAAGUAACCAUAAGCCAAAUCAAGCUUUAUUUUUCUUUAUCCAUAGUUAAAUAAAUAAAUAAAUAAAUAAUUUUUUUAAAAUAUGAUUGUAGUUGGAAAUAUGGACUUGAUAAAAACAUUCUUAUUAAGCUCAUGGUUAUCCAAAAAAAAUUAUCUUCAUGGGGGAUGUUAGUUUGAGGGAAAUUUAUCUUUUAAAUGUGAAAAAAAAAAAAAAAAAUCUUAUUCAGGGAGGAAAUCUAAGUUGGAGUCUUAGACGUUAAGAAAGAUAAUGACAAGUAGAUGAAAGAAAUAGGCCACCUGGCAAGAUAGCGCGUCCUGGACGGGCACCGCCUGCCUAACAAGUGACAACUGCCCUUGCCCUGGUUUCCUUGUUGGACUUGACCACCAACUCUUUCUUUACCUUGUUGGACUUCUUCACACGCUCCCACGCUCCCACACGUCUUUCUCUAUUUCUCUCCUAUAAAUUGCCCCUCCCGCCGUAAGGGAUCGCCACCAUCAUUCUCUCUUCACUCUUCAACUCCACUACUGGUUCUUCCUCUUCCCCUAGGGUUCUUCUUCUACUCCCUUUUGCUAUUUUCUUACAUUUUUGUAAUGGCUCGAGUUGACACAUUCAAGGCUAUGGCCAUCGUCAUCUUCGCUGCAGUCCUCUCUAUGGCUGUUUCUACAGUGUCCGCUCAAGAUCUCUCGGAGGCUCCUGCGCCGGCGCCGGGACUGGAUACUGGAUCGGCCUAUUCGUCCGGCAUAUCUGGAGCUAUGUUGUGGUCAUCAUUGGUUAUCGCUGCUCUCGCUAUUUUCAAGCAGUGAUCCGCUUUUUUUUUUUUUAUGGGUUAUUCUUCCCAUUAUAUAUGGUUUAUAAAUGAUGAGGAUUAUUCUUCUUGAUAUGAUUGUUCCCAUUUAGUUGUUUAUUUAACGCAGAUUAAUAGAAGAGAUUAUUAUUAUUAUGUUAAUUCUUUUCAAUUAUGGAUGGAGGAGAUGGGAUUAUUCUUUCUUUGCAUUGGGAUUAUUCUUUCCGUUUAUGAGAGGAUUAAAUAAAAAAAAUUAAGUUAAUAAAUUUUAAUUUUUAAAAUUAUUGUCCUUAUUUUAAUUUUUAAAAUCAUAAAUUAAUAAAGUUAAGAUACUAAGAACUAUUUUUUAAUAUUUCUUCCCUUCUCUUCGAAAAUAUUAUUGAAGAAUUUGAUUAAAAUAGUUGUCAUAGUUUGCAUUAAGUUCAAAUUUAAUUCGAUUAAUAAAAAACCAUUUAUGAAGUAUGAGUUUACAGGUUUGGCUUAGGGUCAAUGGACAGUUGGGCUGUUUUUUCAACCCAAACCCAAUUUGAAUUCAAAUUGAUUUAAUGUUUUCAUAAUAUUUAUAAUACAUAUUAUUCAUCUUUUUUCUAUUUUUAAGAAAAAAUUUCAAAUUAUAUAAUAUUAUAUAUUUUUCAUUUUUUUUUUAGAAAAAUGUAAAUUUAUGUUUAUUUUUUAGUUACUAUCUUGAAAUUUUUUCAUAUAUAUUAAUACAAAUACAAUAUAUAUAUAUAUAAAAGGUUGUUUAAAAAAUAUUAUAGAUGGAUUUUGAAUUAUGUACCCAACUCAAUCCUGAAUCUAACCCGAUCGAUCCAGCCCGAUCGAUCCAGGUCUAACUUAAACAACUUGAAUUCAAUCCAAUCCUAAAUCUAGCCCGAUCGAUCCAAGUCUAACUUAAACAACUUGAAUAACUUGAAUUCAAUCCAAGUUUAGAAAACUGAUAUUAGAUUGAGUUUGGAUUUAAGUCUAACUUAAACAACUUGAAUUCAAUCCAAGUUUAGAAAACUGAGUUUGGGUUUAAGUCUAACUCAAACAACUUGAAUUCAAUCUGAGUUUGGAAAACUGAUAUUUGGUUGAAUUUGGGUUUAGUACCUCAAUUAGAGUUCGAGUUGUAUUAAAUUUUUUAAUUUGGGUUGGGUUUGAAUUAAUCAUCAACCUGACCAAUUUGUCCAAGUUGCAACCUGUAGUGAUGUUAUUUUCCUCGGGUAUUUUUAAAAAUUGUUUGAUGAUGAAUGAUAAAAUGGUAAAAUUGAUGAGAAAUAAUAAAGUUCUUUUUUAAAAUUUAAUUUAAUUAAUGCUUGCCCUUUAUAAGUAAUAGUUCAAUUAUUUUAACCAAUAAAAGUUCUAACAUCAUAAAUAAAUUUCAAUCUUAAAUAAAUAUUGAUGUCAAUAAUAUCACAAUGAUAAUUUUUUUUAAAUUAUUUCCACCAAUAAAAGUUUAAUUAAUGUCCAUAUAAAUGAUUUAUAAUUAAACUCCCUUAAAGGCUUCUCUAUAUUGGUGGGCAAAAGUGUCGAAAUCUACUUAAAUAAUCCCUCAUGAAUAGCUUUUACAAGAAAAUAGAAUGCUUCUAAAAGAAGCUAGAGGCACGUACACAUUUCCACAAAUAGAAAAGAGAAAGUAGAAUAGUGUGGAUUAUUCUAAAGGGUUCUUGACAAUUCUUAUAACAUAGCUUGUGUAAGGUUUUUUAAAGAAUUCUAGAUUUGUGGCAAACCACCAAGAUUCCAAAGAGUUCUCUUAAUUUCCAUAAAUAGGAGUACGUCUCAUUUGAUGAAAACACCAAGCAUAAGAGCUUCCGAAAACAUUGUAAAAAUGUCUUUGAUUGAUAAAAAGUUUUUAUUCUUCUAAAUUCUGAGUCUUGCUUCCUUUAUUUGUCUCUCUUCAAAGUCAAGUGACUAGAGAACAUGACUGACUUGACAAUUUAAAGUAUCUUAAGUUGUCUUAAUUGUUGAAUGCAAACUAAAAUUAAAAAAAAAAUAAAUAAAUCUAUGACAAGAUGAAGAGAAUAAUUGAAAAAAUUAGGAUAGGAAAUUAAAACUUAGUCGUGCAAAACCAGUUGGAAGAGUUCAUGUUCACAAGGAUAGUGACAAAGUCGAAAGAGUUCACAUUCUCAAGAAAAGUGACUGUGAAACCAAAGUUUGGUUAAUCUUGAUUUUGAUGAUAACAAAACAUAAUUUAGAACUAAUUACUACAUUUUAAGUGUAAUUAGACAAGACGACUUCCAAAGUGGUAAUCCAAAGACAAAUCAAGCCAAUGAGAAAUCAUGAAGAAGAAGACCACCUCAAAGAGAAGAGUUUUUUCAAGACCAAAGCUUCUUAAGAUAUCUUUGUAAGGUUGUUGGUGCACUAGGACUUUCAUGCAUUUCAUUAUUUAUUUAUGCACCAAAAUCAUUCAAGAGUAAUAUUGUUUUAAAUAUUUUAAGAAUUAGAUGGUUUUAUGUUUUCAACUAAAACCUUGUGUUAAAUGAUUUUCAAACUUGUGUUAAAAUGUUUUAAGUUGAAAAGGGUUGAGUGUUGAGCCAAAAAAAUGGCUUAACCGGUUCAACCGGUCGACCAAUUGUGCUCGUCCGAUCGAGGACCGGUUGAAGGAAACCAAAAAGUUUAUCUCUCUCCUAGUGGCCUUCUCUUCCUGCUCAAGGUUGAACCUCAAUCGGUUGAGGUCCGGUCGAGGUCCGGUUGAGGCCCAACGAUCACUUUCCCUAACGGCUAGUCAUCCGGUUGACCCCUAGCUCGACCGAUUGAACCCCCAACGGCUAGUAUAACUUUUUUCUUCUAUAAAAAGACUUCAAACUUAAUUGUUUUAUAAGCUAAACUUUCCCAAAUCUUUCUUGAUUAUAUUUGAGCCUUGGAAUAGUAUUUUUGAGUGCACCAUUAUUCCAAAAUUUGCAUAUCUUUAGUGCACCAUUCAAUCCUAGUUUCUCUUGUAUCAUUUGAGCUUAAAGUUCUUGUGCUAGGAUUUUUGAGAGAUCAUUUUAUUUGUAAAUCUUUGAAAGGAAUUUUCUCAAGUGAGGGGUAUCACUUGAGAGGUUGUUCAAGAGUGGGAUAACUCUUGAGAAGUGUAAAGGGUGCUUGGAGCCAAAAGUCCAAGAGGGUGAAUUGGAACCAUAAUCCAAUUGUAAAGAGAUUGGAAGCUUAGUUGAAGCUUCAAGAUAGUGGAACCCUCACUCGGUUAAGAGGUUGAGGAGAGUGGGCGUAGGCAAAUUAGUACCAAACCACUAUAAACUCUCGUGUUUGUACUCUCUCUUCCCUAACUCUUUUAAAUUAUAUGCAAUUGUGUUUAUUUUGUUUAUUAUAUAUUUGCAUAUAAUUGUCUCUUAUUUUUGCAUAGUUUAAAUUUGUGAAAAAGAGACCAUCACCCUAUUUACCUCCCUCCCCCCCUCCCUCUAGGGUGAUUACCAUAGUUUAGAUUAGCCUCAAAUUCCUAACAGUGACAACAAAAAUGUUUUUACAAAGAAUUCUAGCAUUCAAUAAUUGUAGAGGAAAUGUACAACAAUUAAACCUUGAUUUGAAGGAUUCUUGUUGCACUAAAAUUUUCUUUGAAGUGCAUCAAAAUAAUAUAUUUUAGAAAUGUUGUUGUUACUAUCGGUGCAAUACUAACAAUGUUCUUCCUAGCUAGCUUUUUUCGAGUGAACGACAUGUGUACUUGCAACAAGAUGUGUUCGGAUGGUUUUUCUGGGCACGCCUCUUUGAAGUUUAAGUUAGCAUUUUGAAGAGACAAAAAAUCGUUUUUCUAAGGUUUUUUUUUUCAUACAUGAAUUAUGAUUUUUGGUGGCUAUUUAUUAUGAUUAAGUUGCAACAUUUCAUAUGUAUCUUUACUGUUUUAAAUGCUAAUAAUUGGUUUUGUGAACAAUAGUCUUUAAGAUAAAGUCUAGUGUUUUCGUCCAUAAAUGUUUUUAACAUAACACUUCAGUAUUGUAGUAUUUAUCAAUGUUUUCAGAACCAGACCGGUCAUCGAACUGAAAAAGUUACUGGUUCACGGUUCACUGGUCACACCGGCAAUUGAACCGCAGUUAGACCGGCGGUUGAAUCGCGGUCGAACCGGUGACGUCAUUAAUAUAUAUUUUUAUAUAUUAUUAAAAUUUUAAAAAAAUUAAUAAAUAAAAAUAAUAAAUUAUAACUAAAUUUUGACAGUAUUUAUCAUGUUUGUUAAUUUUUUUUCACAAAAUUUUUUUAUCUAUAGUUGUCCAUCAACCCAAUAUUUUCAAUAAUUUCAAUAAAUUAAAAUGUCAAUAUGUAAUAAAUAAAACAAAAUUAAAAAAAUUAAAUAUAAAUUUUUUUAAAACUAAAAUGGAAGGUUCAGUCGUGGGGGGAUGAGGGGAGGAGAGAGACAGAGAGAGGAGAGCUUUCCAGGGGUGGAGGGUACUUCUAGUGGGAGGGUUCUUUACCUUUGCGGGAGAAGGGGGAGUUUUCCAGUUCGCCGCCGGGGGUGGAGUAACGGGAUUUGCGCUAGGUGCUACUGAGGUUGGGAGGGCUUUUUAGCGCACGGUGGAGGAGGUAGGGUAGGACUCCCAGCACCGGGGGUGUUGCCGACAGAUGAUGCUCUAGGCGACAAUGGAGGUAUCGUUGUCGGCCAGACGACGCUCUAGGUGACAGUGGGGGUACUAGUCACAUGGGGAAGGGGGAAGGAAAAUUAAUUGUUGGGGUAGAAGGGAACCGGUUGGUUUGUCGAUCGAAUCGUCGAUUCAAACGGUUCAAUUCCGAUUCGAUGGAUUCCUUGUCCAAUUGGCUGGACCGGCCGGUCUGGUCCGAUUUGGUCCAGAUUUUAAAACCAUGGUAUUUAUUGCUUAAACGACGCCUAGAUAAUAUUUUGGCCAUUUGAUACCAAGAUAGGGAAGGGAUUCAACCUAAAUGGAUGCAAGGGUCCCAUAAUGCCUCUCAAUUCUCUUAGCCAUAUAUGACUAGAUACCAAACGAUCGAUUAGAAAGAAUUUACUAUCGUUUUGUGGAAAAGUUUUCAAAUUUUGGUGCCAAUGGGACACGUGUCCGUCGCACAAGGUUCGAGAUGACCCAUCAUUAUGACAGUUGACAGGCAACAUGCCUUUUCAGACACCUCGAUCAACGCACCCAUUUUCAACCUACUUAAAGGCCUCUUGGCUUUUAGCCUCUGCUUCUCACAUUUGGUGUGUUUGAAUUUGAGAGUUUUGUUACUUGCUAUCCUACCGUCAACGCUGCUAAGGUUUCAUGCUGCAACUUCAUCAUUGUUGUCGAAAUAUCAUUGUUCUAUUCAACCAGGUCAGAUUCUUUUCUUGUUCUUCAUUCUUUUUUCUGCUCUUAGAUGUAUGCUUUGGACUAUUCUUGUAGAACUUUUUUGGUGUUUUGAUUGCAUGAGUAUUCUAGCGUUUCGAUGUUGCAAUUUCUAAGUUUCAACUGCGAGUUUCUAAGGGUUUUUGUUUAAAUAAGGUUUAUAAGGGCUUUUUACAACCAAAGCAUGAAUUGUUUAUCCAAUAAUUUGCCAUACGACUUUAGCAUCCCUUUUGCCAUUGAACAUAUGUGGCUUAGACACCUCCACCCUUAGUGCCUCAUUAGUUGUCAUGACUCAUGCUAACACAACAGUCUUGUAGAUGGUCAGCUCUUAUCUAACCUCCUGAUCACGAGUCUCCAUGCAUGUAGCCUCCAUCCUUGACUCCAUGCUAGCAAGCAUGCUCAUGACCUUGUCUUGGAAAGAUGUGAGCUCCUCAUGUGACACUGACUGAACUUGUAAGCCUAACACCCCCUCACGAAGGUCUUGGAUUUGCUUCCUAAGAUCUUCUAUGCCCUUCUCCAUGCCUUGCUCUAUCAAGUCCACCCAUCCCGAGUGUCUGCCAUGGCUAGCUCCACCUUGGCUAGCUUUGCCUCCAUAUUGGCUAAGGCAUCACGAAACUUAUCCUUCCUUCCCCUACAACGUACAAUAGGUUCGGUCUCCCUCCCAUGGGUUUGCUCGCUAGUCUCCUCAACGUUAAAGCCUAACAUGCUUUCUUCACUAUGCCCACUUCAUGCCACACUUUGAUAUCAACUGUCACGGACUUAGGCUUUUCCUAAGCUCACGUGUGGCACCUAGAUAAGCCAAAACUCUUGGAUGUUACUAAGUCAGCCUUGCCCACUCACUUAGCUAGCUAUGCUAAGUAUGCACACAACUUGGAAGCUAAAAGGCUCACGUAAGCAACACUUAAACAAUGAAAGUUUUAUUGCUCUCAAAUUAUGCUUACAAGGCCUUUGGAAGCUCACUUGUUUGGUGUCUUGGUCAAAUGAGGGUCUCACCUAUUUAUAGGCACCUUAGGAAGCCUCUAGAACCUUGGAUGGUUCCUUACAAAUUAAGAAUAUUUUAAAAACUCCAACAUAAAUCUAUAUACAAGGUUAUGUACAAAAUAACUCUGAAAAACUCUAGAAUACCCCACACUAUUCCAAGGUCUCCUAACCUACUAUAGAGAUGUGUGGACAUCUCUAGAAGCUUCCACACUCUUCCACCAUGUAAGUAAGUGUAGAUGGCUCCAUGAGUCUUCAGAAGCAUCCUACUCCCUUUAUAAGGUUCAAGAUAGGGUCAUUUGGGGCCGGGUGUGACAAUAUGCAUUCUUCAAGUUCAACCAUAUGAUUUAGCAUACUUCUUAAUUCUAAGAAGUAAUACAAUAAUUAAUAUUAUAAAAAUAACAACAAUAAUAGCAACACUAAAGAAGAGAACAAUAAUAAUAAGAAGAAGAGCAUAGCAACCACCACCAUCACCAAUGAUAAAGUUGGUUACAAAAUGUAGCCCGUUUCCCUUCAUUUUUGGAUAACUAAACAAUUCUUUUUCAACAAGGCGUAGAUUGCCUUUCCUAACAAGAAAGAGUCAUUGGAAUUGAUAUAAAAUAUGGCAUUAGUUAUAAGUAAUCUGAACAUAUGUUAAAAGGAAAAUUCAAAGAAUAGACUGCCAGACUUUCUUUUCAUAAUUAUCGAUUCAAAGAAUAAUUUCUCAGAGUUCAAGUCAAUCAUUAGGGAAAGGCAUAUGUUCUUGAUGUUCCUAUUCAAUCAAACCAUUGUCAAAUCAAUGAAAAGAAAGAAAUGUUCCUGCUUAGAAUGGUGGCUGCAAGCCUAUCAUUAACAACACCUCCUGUGGGGCAGUUAGAUAAAGAUCAUUAACCAUAUAAUGAGAAGAUCCAAGGAGGAAAAGAUACAAAGCUUAGACAGUGCAAAAUUGCAUCAUAUCAAUGAUCAAAGAGUAAAAAGAAAAGAAGGAAAAGAUAAACAAUUUUCAGUAGAGGAAUAUUUCCAACCGACGGUCAUAAGAAUUUAAUAGACUUUAUAUCCAUCAAAUCUAUGGAUGUUAAUAAUGAAGUUAAGAGAAACAAAAUCUCCAUCAGCUCCCUUACAAAUAUGAGGUUAGCUAUCUGAACAAGAUGUUUAGUUGUGUUUAACUAAAUGAAUCUGAAGUCACAACAAUAGGGAAAAGGAAAAAUGGGGAAGCUCAAAAUACGAAACACAAAAAAGUAUCUCAUUUAUGCCCUCGAUGACCAAGAUUCAAUUAUACGCCCCAAGCAUUUAUUAUGAGUAGUACACUCAACAAAAUGCAGGGAAAUCAUAUAUCCAAUGACAUUAAUAGCUAUAUGAAAAUCAUCAAACAGUAACAAUGAUGGAUAUGAUAGUUUAACAUCUUCAAAAAAGAACACUGGCUGAUCCAACCAGUUCAGGACAAAACAUCCAGCAUCCAUGGAUAGAAUUUUGUCUCGUAUCUACACAUACCAUUUGACCAACAUUAUGGGCAGCCUGCUGCAUGCAGGAACAUCCAUAAUUUACUCUCUUGAAAGAAAGCAAUAAGGCUUUUUCCUCCUUCAAUAGCAGAAAGACUAUUUUUUUCAUUAUUCUGCAGCAUGCCAUUUGCCAAAAAUGCUUGUUCAUACUUUGGGUCCACAAUGAAUGCAUUUAUAUCCAUUCAUGAAAGGAAUAAUCACAUUCCUCUGUCCAAAAUGCAAAAGUUUCUAAAAGGGUCAAACAAUCGUUCUCUUAAACUUGUCGUAGUUUCAUAACCAAGACCUUGCUAAGAGGCUGACCAUGCAACUCUCCAUUGCUGCUUGAUGAUUGAUAAAUAUAACUAUGUGAGUGAGAAAUUCCAAUCGAGUAUGAGGGAUCUUAACCAAAUGAACUAUUUGAGUAAAGUCAAAAGGUUAGAACAUAUAUUCCAUACAAACCAAAUCAACCAUUCGAGUAAGUCAGAAAAUUAGAACAUGGAGAAGAAUUCUUUUUCUAUUGGGAUUUGAAAUGAUAUAACCAUGUUCAAAUGCUCCAAUCUCCACUCUAUUUGAUUCUCCAAAACCACUUUUUCGAUUGUUUCGUUCCUCUUCUAGUGAUUCAUCAGAUUCAUUGGAAAAUUGAACCAAUUCAGUCCAAGAUGGCAAAGCAUUACGGAACACAACAAAAGAAGCCAAAUCAGAAAAAUAAAAAUUAAAAGAAAAAGGAAAGAAACCAACGGCAACAAAACAAGACAAGAAAACAGAAAAACAAAAGCAAUUUGACCUAUAGGGAACACAAUAUAUGGAAUAUAUUCCCAUCUCAUUCAAUUGUGCUCUUCAAAGCUAGUGGCAUCUCCAUCUCGUCAGCUUCAGGGUAAUUGUCUUCCCCGUUAGGGUUUUGAAUAUCGCCCACGGAAUGUGAAGAAUCCUCAUUUUUCUGAGAUGGGAGGAAGAAGAGCCUCCAUGCAAGAAGAAAAAUAAAAAGCAAGAACCCUAAUCUGUGUAUCUAUCUCUCUUGUUUCUUCAAAAAUUAAGAGAAACAAUGGGGACAGAUGUGAAGAAUCCUCGUUUUGCCGCAAGCAUUUUAGAGAGAUCAGAAAAAGAAAAGCAUCCAUAUAAGAAGAAAAAUGAAAAGGGAUAACCCAGAAAAAUGAAAACGAAGAACCCUAAUUGUGUAUCUAUCUCUCUUGUUUCUUCAAAAAUUAAGAGAAACAUUGGAGACAGACCCAUUAGGGUUUUCAAGAUCGCCUAUGGAAUUUGUCCACAUGCGAAGAAUCCUCGUUCCGCCGCAAGCAUUUUAGAGAGAUCAGAUGAAGAAAAGCAUCCAUAUAAGAAGAAAAAUGAAAAGGAAGAACCCAGAAAAAUAAAAAGAAAGAACCCUAAUUGUGUAUCUAUCUCUCUUGUUUCUUCAAAAUUAAGAGAAACAUCGGAGACAGACCCAUUAGGGUUCUGAAGAUCGCCUAUGGAAUUUAUCCACAUGCGAAGAUUCCUUGUUUUGCCGCAAGCAUUUUAGAGAGAUCGGAUGAAGAAAAACAUCCAUAUAAGAAGAAAAAUAAAAAGGAAGAACCAUAAUCUGUAUAUCUAUCUCUCUUGUUUCUUCAAAAAUUGAAAGAAAUAUUGGAGACAGAUCAAGAGCUCUCAAGAAUAACCCAACGAGCAAGAUGCCACUUUUUAAAUACCCGUUGCCGUACAAAAUCCAACGGCUAGUUUUUUGGAUUUUCUCAAAUCUUGAAAAUAAUUAGGGCUGAAACUUGAAAGACGUUCUCGUUGGUUUUCUUUAAUUCGGUGCAUUCUACUAAUUAAAUCGGAUGCUCACGUAAAAUAUUGGCAAUUUAUUGUUGAUUUUUUUGUCAUUUUUUUUUUCAAGUUUUAAACAAAAAUUAAUUUGAUAAGAAAAAUUAUAAAUAAAAAAAAUUCAUCAAUUUUAAUAAUUUAAAUAAAUUAACAACAAAUUUUGGUAAUUUAUGUGAAAAUGCACUUAUUUAAAAAUUAAUAAUUUUAUUGAUAAGUUUUAUUUUUUAAAAUAAAUAAAUAUAAAUGUAUGGAAAUGAAUAGAGAGUUUUGGGGCAAAAUGGCUUCUUCAUAAACUUAAUAUUAAAAGUGGGUUUCUUCCAAAACUAAUGUUCAAAAUAGCCCCCAUCAAUCUACAUAACCAUAAAAACCAUUUUUUUUUUCUUUACUAUUUUUGUUUACUUUCCCAAUUUCUCAUCCCGUUCUGUGUUCUCUGUGUAAUUUUUUUCUUCAAAACCCUAACCCCACCAGUGGGCCACUGUGAGAGAGACAUUGUUGGAGCUACAAAGCAUCAAGGUUGAGGUUGGUCCCAAUAUUCUUUUUGUCUUGUUUUAUAUAAAGUUUUGACACUUUCCCAUUUUUUUUCCCCAUCUCAGAAUCUCGGUUUUUUUUUUCCAUUGCUUUUGGUUUUCUCUUUUGCUUACGUCCUUCACGGCUAUUUUAGCAUAAAUGGUUUGUUAUUAUCCAAAGAUUGAAGUCCUUAAGAUGCAAACGUUUGUCGAAGUUUAUGGGAAAAAUGAAAUUUUUUUGGGAAACCGUGAUUCUAAUAUAUAGGUUAUGUAAGAUAAAAAGGACAAAUCCUUCGUAGAAGUAUGAGUCCAUAUCACCCGAGGUUUGUUUUACCACCAACUAAAAUAAAUGUCUGGAUGUUGAAGGAAAAUAAUGGGUAAAUAUUAGUACUUAGAUUCUUGUUUUGUCAGUAUUGUGAGAAGAAUUGACAGGUUGAAUACCAAUCUUUCCUUUCUUUAGCUACCAUAGAAGGAAACUAGGAAUAUUGAAGCUGAGAAGAUAAAGUGUCUAUUGUCAAAAGAACUCAUAAGUGGAGGCAUUUACUAGUGUCAUUUUCUACACCUAAUUCGGCUCGAAUUAGUGAAGUGAACUACUUGGGACCACAGCUAUGUGCCCUUGGACACGUCUAGAUGCUCAGGUAGGGUGUAAUGCCAAGGAAUAUAAAAAAAUGCCAGGAAAGCCUUUUUAUCAUUAUACUAGAAUUUAGAAUCACAAUCUACAUGCUAUCUACAUUCUGCACUGCAAGAAUAACAAUAAGGAAGGUUAUCAAAUAUGAUUUUCAGGAUCUAAUUUUUAAAAUAACACCAAAUAGAAGAUCAAAGUUAGGCUUUUAGGUGGCUGACAUCCAAUUCUGUUCGUAUCAGUUGUUAUAAUUGAGUGUAGCACGACAGAACGGGUAUGGGGCCUUAAGAUUGAAUAAGCAAUGUCACAAAGAAAAUAGAAUCAAAAGGAAUGGAGAGCCUUACCUGCCAAGUCAUGGAAGUUAUUACAAGCAUUACAAUUAUGACUCAACUUCUGACCAGACUAAAUAAAAUAACCAGAUCCAAUUCCACACUAAUUGGGUCAGCUUGAAGGUUACCUACUUGAUAUUCUCCACUUAUGGGAGUAAAUUGUAUUAUUCAUUCUACUAUGGUAACAAAAUUUUUAAUUGUAUGUUCCAUAUAUAAAACAAUAUAAUAACCUUAGGAUAUGAUUUUUAUUUAUGAGAUAUUGAAAAUUAUUUUUUUUACAAGGUUCUUUAAAAAAUCUCAAUUUUUUUGAAAAUAACAUAUUUAACAUAUAUUUAUUUUUAAAAAUAUAUUUAACAAAUAGUUUUUAGUUGUAAAAAUAUUAAUAUAUUUAAUAGAUAUUUAUUUUAAAAUUUAAUUUUUAAUAUAAAAAUAUUAAUUUAAUUUUAUCAAUAAAAUAUUAAAAGUUAAUCUCAUCCUAAUUAUCAAAUUAGAAAAAUAAACUAAACGUGUUUGUAACCCAAACACAUGUAAAAAAUUUUAUUGAACCAAAAAAUAAAAUAAAAUAAAAUACGCCAAAUUAAGUAAUAAUAGACAUAGUAGUAAGCUCAACAGUUUCUCAACAUCCAAACAAGAGAAUUACCAUUAGAUGAUUUUCUAAAAAUAUUUUAUAAAUUUUUGUAUUGUAUAUAAGUAUGUUGUAAUUUUAUGAAUAAUAAAUUGAGCAAAUUGUAUUUCAUAUUUCAAUUCUCGAACAUAAAUUUGUUUUUAAAAACAAUUUUUCAAAGUGUUUUUUGGGCAUUUGCUCCAUCUAUUAAAGGAUUUAUUCACUGUCGACCAAUUCUUAGUAUUGAUGGGACACAUUUGUAUAGAAAAUAUAAAGGGACUUUGCUAAUUGCUAUGGGAUAUGAUAGUAGUAACCAAUUGUUCCCACUUGCCUUUGCCAUUACAGAAAGAAAGAAUAUAGAUAGUUGGAGUUGGUUUUUGGCAUAUAUCAAAGUUAGAGUAACACAAAGGAAAGGCUUGUGUCUAAUCUUUGAUCGUCAUCCUGACAUUAUAAUUGCUGUGAAUGAAACAUAUUCGAGAUGGACUAAGCCAGAUGCUUGUUAUAGAUUUUGUAUGCAUCAUUUAGGACGUAACUUCAACACAAAGUUCAAAAAUAAGACUUUAAAGGAUCUCAUGUGUAGGGUUGCUAUGGAGAGUAAAGUUAAAAAUUUUAUUUAUCACAUUGAUACAAUUGGUCAGAUAAAUGUUGAUGCUAGAAAUUGGUUAGAGCAUAUUCCUCUUGAAAAAUGGGCACUCUCACAUGAUGGUGGGCAGAGAUAUGAGAUUAUGACAAUUAACAUGUUUGAAGUUUUUAAUGGUGUCCUUAAGGGUGCUCGUAACUUACUAAUAACAGCUUUAGUCUAGUUAACUUUCUAUCGGGUUAACAGUUACUUCAUAGCCAGGCGAGAGCAUGGUGCUAGUCGACUCGCUUCAAGUGAAGAAUUCAUUCCAUAUAUUGAAGCCAAGAUGAAGGCUAAAGUUGUUAAGGUAGGUUCAGAUGAAGUUGUUUUGUAUGAUCAUGUGGUGAGACGUUUUCAUGUUAAAACUAGACACUCUGUUGGAAGCAGUAAUAGGAAACCUCGCACAUAUCAUGUUACCCUUCAAACGGGGUCUUGCACAUGUAACAAAACACUUUUGUUAAGAUUCCCAUGUUCGCACAUUUUUGCCGCUUGUCAUUGUCGAGAAAUUGAUUUUUGAAAAUUUGUACAAGGUUAUUACACCACACGUGCUUACCUAUCAACAUGGGUUUCCUUGUUUUAUCCCAUAUUUGAUGAGUUGAAGUGGCCUCAAUAUAAUAAACCGAUAAUUGUACCUUCAGACUCGAUGAAAUGACUAACUUCUGGUCGACCGAAAUCAAGUCAUUUGCAUAAUGAGAUGGAUGCAAGGGAAACUAGAACUCCACAAACAUGUGGACUUUGCAAGCAAUUGGGUCACAAUCGACGUUCUUGUCCUAAUAGAGAAACCAAUGAUAGGAAGAGUUGAUGUAUUUCAUGAACAUCAUUGUACUAUUUUUUUUUUUUUUAAUUUACUAGUAUUGACCUUAAUCAUUUUAAGAUAUACGUAGAAACUAUCUUAUUGAACAUCUUAUUGACGUUUUUUUUGUUUGAAAUUGUUAUUUUUUUGUCAAUUCAUUCAUAUUUUGCUUAUGUCAGGUUACAUGAAAAAAAACUUAAUCUCUAUUGUUUAAGGGAGAUGCUGCUAAAAUUUUUAAAAUUUUAAUCAUGAAAUUCAUAUUGUUAGAAAUUGUUGUUUUUUUGUCAAUUCAUUCAUAUUUUGCUUAUAUCAGGUUACAUUGAAAAAUUUUGAAUCUCUACUGUUUAGGGGAAAUGCUGCUCAAAUUUUUACAAUUUUAAUCAUGAAAUUUAUGUUGUUAGAUAUUGUUGUUUCUUGUCAAUUCAUUCAUAUUUUUCUUAUAUCAUGUAUUGAUGUAUGUGCAAACAUGGAUACUCCGUUGUUUCCUGCCCGUCCUGACCCUGAGGAUACAUCUAUGCUUACUCUUCAGCAUCGACAUUGAUCAUUCACCAUUCGUGUUGAUCCAGAUAUGGGUCAUGUUUUGACUUGUUGACACAGGUUUCAUCGAGAGUGGGUUUUGGAUGAUCGUGUUUGGCCAUACAUUAUACAGUCAGGAUUUUAUGUCUUUCAUCGAGUAGGUCAUGUUAAGGUUGAUUGACCUUUGAUUACUGCACUGGUAUAGAGAUGGCGCUCAGAGACGCACACAUUCCACAUGCUAGUUGGUGAGAUGACCAUCACAUUGCAGGACGUAGUCAUCUUAUUUGGAUUACAUGUACAUGGUCAUCCUGUCACUGGUUCUACAGAUAUUGAUUGGCAUGCACUUUGUGAAGAGUUAUUAGGUGUUCAACCGACAAAGAUUAAUAUUUGUGGAACAUCCCUUAGAGUUCGUUUUAUUACUACCCAUUUCUCCUACUUACCACCAAGGGUUGUAGAUGAAGUCACAUUACAGCGCCAUGCUAGAGCAUAUCUUUUAUUGUUAUUUGGUGGUUCAUUAUUUCCAGAUAAGAAUGGAACCUACAUCCAAUUAGCAAUUCUACCCAUAUUAAGAGAUUUUGGUGAGACUGCACAAUAUAGUUGGGGGAGUGCAACACUAACACAUCUUUAUCGAGAGUUUUGUCGAACUAGCUUAGAUAGUGCAAAUUAUAUAUGUUUACUGGAUAUUUUUUGAGACUUUGAUUAAACUACUAAAAUUUACAUUUUGUCGUAGACUUUUUCUAAUUAAUUUCAUUAACCAAUUUUGUCAAAAAAUCUAUUAUUUCGAUAAAGAUAAAUUUGUCAUAAUACAAAUAAAUUAAUAUCUUAAAAAACAACAAAUUAAAUAUCUUAAAUUAAUAAAUUAUACAAUUUUAUAUAUUAUUUAUAUGUUAUAUAAAUUUAUUAUUUUAAAAUUAUUAAUUUAUUAAUAAAUAAAAUAUUCAUUUGUAAUAUAUUCUAUUUAUCAAUUUAUGUUUGUUGAAGUAAUACUAGAUUAUUAAGUUUAAAUAUAAAUAAUUUAUUAUUAAAGUAUAUAUUUUUAAUUUCAAUAAUAAAUUAUAAUUUAAUAGUUUUUAAUUAAAUUUGAAAGUAAAAAAAAAUUAUAAUUGAAAUCUCAAUUACAGUUUAAAAAUAUACUAUUAUUUCGAUAAAGAUAACUUAAAAACAACAAAUUAAAUAUCUUAAAUUAAUAAAUUAUACAAUUUUAUAUAUUAUUUAUAUGUUAUAUAAAUUUUUUAUUUUAAGAUUAUUAAUUUAUUAAUAAAUAAAAUAUUCAUUUAUAAUAUCUUCUAUUUAUCAAUUUAUGUUUGUUGAAUUAAUACUAGAUUCUUAAGUUUAAAUAUAAAUAAUAUAUUAUUUAAGUAUAUUUUUUAAAUUUCAAUCAUAAAUUGUAAUUUAAUAAUUUUUAAUUAAAUUUUAAAUUUUAAAAAAUAAAAUAAAACAUCAGUUGCCAAAUGCGACUUUAGUUAAAAAAUGAAGUCUCAAUUGCCAAUUGAGGCUUCAGUUUAAAAAUGAAGUCUCAGUUGGCAAUUGCGACUUUAGUUAAAAAAUAAAGUUUCAGUUGCUAAUUGAGGCUUCAGUUUAAAAAUAAAGUCUCGGUUGGUAACUGUAACUUUAGUUCAAAAAUAAAGGUUUAGUUGAGAACUGCAGUUUAAUUCAAAAACUAAAACCUCAAUUGGCAAUUGCACCUUCAGUUCAAAAAUAGUCUUAGUUGUCAAUUGAGGUUUUAACUAAAAUAAUGAAAAAAAAAAUUAUGACAUGAUGCAUACAUGACACCAAAGAAACCAAUUUGAACAUAAGUUUCAAAAAGUGGUUAGAUAUUAUAUUUUUCUUUUUAAUAAAUGGAUCAUUUUGACCCAAAACUCAGGAAUUGAAGAUAACGUACUAAGAAAGGUAGGUAUUUUAUAUGCAUGCAUUAAUAAGAGCUUGAAUAACUUUGAUUAAUUUAAAUUUAUUUAUCUUCAAGACAUUAAAUACAUAAUUUUAAUUUUAAUUUUUUAAUAUGGAAAUUUUUGGAAGGAAAAAUUAAGAUAUUUUAUAAAUGUAAAGUGUUUUAAAUAUAGAAAUAUAAUAUGUUUUAGAUGGUAUAAUCCAAUAAAAUAAAUUGUUAAUCCUUAUUUUGGUAUCAAGUAUAUACUAUUAUCUUUUUUAUGUAUACAUAUUAUAUUAUUAUCCAAUACUUAUCAAAUUUCAUCAAAUGAUAAUUUUUUAGAAUUCUCUUCUAAUAUUUUUUAUAUUUUUAUAAAAUUCAAUUAAUAAUAUUUGACUAUGGUAUUAGUGGGUACCUAUCAAAAUUUUCAUCUCUAACAUAGAAGAUAUACAACAGAAAGAAUAAAAUUAAAAUAUAAAUAAAUUAGAUUAAAAUACAAGCUCUAGCACUGCCCAUGUGUGAGCUGACAAGUGCAACGCAUUAUGUCAUGGACUUAACAUAGACUAAAAGAAAAGAAAGGAAACCGACUCAAUGAUCCCAAUAAUAUUUGUCCACGUAGAUAUAUUUGAUUGGAGGUUUUGACAGGUACUCAGUACUCUUCCGGAACCCUUAAUUUAUUUUUAUAUUUGAAAAGAAAAGCAGUUGUAAGUUUGUAACUUGGUUCACCAAGUUAGGGUUUGCAUGAGAUGGUACAAAAAAAUGGGUAACCAAUAGGCAACAUGCAUGUGGCCAAUGCGAGAGCCCAGAGGAAUGGGUCAACCUCUUGUCAGCUCUGAAAAUGACAAAUAUAAUAUAAAUAAAUAAAUAAAAAUAGAAGGGGAGGAGAUCAAAAUUGACUCCGCUACAACUCUACUUUACCCACAGGCGCAGCAGUUCUCUGUCCCCUUGACAAACUCCUUCAGAGUCUGUGAAUUGAAUUGGAUUUGACGAAAUGUUUGUGAGUAGGCCUGUGGUGCACCCAGUGGAAGCGCCACCGCUGAGAGAGGGAGGCAACAAUGCUCCCAGAGUGAGGAUGAAGGACGUUCAAGGCAUGGCUGGCACGCCUGGUGGCCUUGUUCUUCGCCUCUUCCAAUUCCUUUCCGCCGUCGUUUCCCUCUGCGUUAUGGUUACCAUCUCUGAUUUCUACUCCGUUACAGCUUUUUGGUGUGAUUUUCUCGUCCGUUUUCCUUUUAAAUAUGUAAUUACUUUGGAGUUGAAUGUUGAUCUCCUGUAGAGAAAAAUUCUGUUUGGUAAAGGGUAAUGAUCCAUAACGCUAGUCUAAUUCUGUUAUAAUCAUGAACUCGGUGUAAAGCCCCCCAUCAGACUUGUAAGAAAGGUGAAAUGAUCCUAUUUGUGAGAAGAUGAAACGUGAAAAUUUGGUGUCUUUCCCCUUAUUGUGUUGUCUUGGUAAUUGCCCAGAUGGGGUUUACCCAGAAAGAGAAAUUGAUUGGUGGUAAUUGUGAGGGUUGAUGAUAUGAUCUAUGAAGCUGAUACCAUGAGCGCUCACUAAGUGAACAGAGUGAACCCUUUCUCUGGGUGUAUUUUGCAUUUGCUGCUAAAAUUUGAAUACUCCUGUUGCAAGCUGUAGCAUGGAUGUAUAUUGAUUCUGUAAAUUACUCUUCUAUAGGUUAAAAAGAAGACUCCACCAUGUCAAACUAGCUUUGUUGUUCUAAGUAGUGAUGUGAAUUGAAUUCAUUCCAUCCUACUACACUUUCCUAAUCUGCUCCAUGUUAUGGAUAACAUUAGGUGGUAAAGUGAAGUCAAAUUGUAGGUGGGUGUUGUAUAAAAUAAUGACCAGUUAAACCGGUAUCUGGAUGAGGUGGAUUUGUGGAGCUGAAUAUAUUAUUGAAUUAGUUUCCUUAUGCUUUUGUUUCCAUUUCGUUAUUGGCUAUUGGAAAUGAUUGUAUAUUCUCAUGCUAGAAUACGCUUUGUCAAAUUGUUGUCCCACCUACAAUAAUCAUACAAUAGGUGAUGAGGAUCAAGGCAUUCUCACAGUUAAUGUAAUUUAGUAUAAGUAUGAAGAAACGUCAAUCCAGUCUCUGUCUGAACCUCUAUCCUCUUCCUUAUACUAACUCAAACUUCAGCUUCAUCGCAUGGAGUGCUGAUUAGAUCAAAAGGAUUUGUUGGCUCAACCAUAGGGCAGCUAGUUGGUUCAACUGUGAAAUCUGGUUCCACCAGAGUGGAUUUGAUCCUUUUGUUUCAUGAAAAAGCCCCAUGACUAAUUAUUUUUCAAUCAUGUAUGUUAUAUACUGCCAAAAGAGUUUCACUACAGUCCUGAUGAAGUGGUGCAAUCUGAUGUCUGGUUUUCAAUUUAGAUUCAAUUUGCCGCCUUUGCAAUUAUUUGUGAACAAAGAUAACAUACAACUUUUGUUUUUUUUUCUGUGUUAGCUAUCUUGUGGUGGCUGUCAGCUUGCAAAGUUUGUGGAGCCUGUCACUAGCCAUUAUGGAUAUAUAUGCCCUUUUAGUGAGACGAAGCUUGCGGAAUUCUGGAAUUAUCAGUGUGUUCACUGUUGGUGAUGGGGUAAGAGUGUUUAAAUGGUCAAUUCAAGCAAAAAUUGCAUGUUUAUGGCUUAGUUGGACCUGUUCCUCAAACCUGGUUAAACAACAGGAGACAAAUUUAUGGUAUGUUUCCCAUUGUUACUCUUUCCAUGAGUUAAAAGGCAACUGUUGGGUGGAAUAGAAAAAUCUUGUGUUUCCAAGUGAGAAAGUGCAGUUUGGAGUCUUAAAAGAGGUUAAUUGUUACAAAACUCCAGGAAGUUGUAUACCAUAUCCAACUUAUCCCUCCCAGGAUGCUUGGUGGGAUCAAUAUUGAUUAAUGACCUUACAGGUCAUUUUCAAUCCUUAUAGACACUUUUUGUGUGGUUUCCCUGACCAAUGCUGUGUCAUACCAGGCAAAUUCAAUCCUGUGCGUGAAAGAUUUUGGUUUGAAUUAUUGAUGUUAAUCUGCAAUUUUUAUUUUCAUUUCUAGCUACCCAAAAUUUCAUGAUUUAGAAACGGGAAACUGUCUAUUAGGAAUGCAUGUGAAUUAUGUUGCCUCUAACCUGGCCUGGUUGAGUCUACUGAGCAUUUCUUACUACAUUGUACUCCCAACAUUCUCUUUUCUUCUUACUUUUCUUUUCAUUUCCAGACUUUUGGUUUAAUUCCAUUAUUGCAUCUGACUAAGUUAUUGGUUGACUAGAUUCAGUUCACUGAUUUGAACUGCUCAAGUGGAGUUCCAUUGGUUUCAAAUUCAAGAUCAUUGAUUGACAUAAAACUCUUAACAACAUUCCCUUACUCCUAACAGGGGAUGGCUUUCAUCAGCUGUUGUCUCUUUGCAUUCCCCUUCUCUCUCCUUUGUUUUGCUGGGAAAUGUUUCUUCUAGAAAAUCCAGGGACCUAUAUUUCUGUUUAAGGAAAGAAGGCCCUUAUCUUCUAGGAUUUGGAAAUGAAAAUUGUAUUAAAAGUUCAUAGAAAUCAUAUACAACGAGUGCUUAUUUUUCAGUAGAUAUUGCAAACUAUCUGAAUGAUUACUUUCUGACAUUUUAUGCCUAUGCAAGCCUUUAGGAGUAUCCCUGUUUCUAUUCUGUUAAAAUCUGUAAGGACCACAACUACAAAAUAUCUUUUAAAAUGUUGCCAUGUUAUUUCAGAAAUUGAUUUAGUUCUCAUCUCAGCUUACAGAUAUGAGCAAUAUUCUGCUGCAGAUCACUUCCACGCUUACAUUUUCUGCUGCAUGUGCAUCUGCUGGGAUCACCGUCCUCAUUGAAAAUGAUAUGGACAGGUGUGCCAUGAACCCCUGCACAAGGUUUGAGACUGCUACAGCUAUGGCUUUCAUCAGCUGGUUUGCUGUUUCACCAUCCUUUUUCUUGAACUUUUGGUCACUGGCUUCCCGAUAAAAGAACUCAGAACAGAGAAUCAACCAUCAAGUACAUUUUCUUUUGAUAUCUAUACCACCUGCUUUCUUCUAUAACACAACAAACAUUGGAGAUUUGCUAGCUCCUACUUUGUAUAUAAGCUAAUUUUUCAUAAAAAAAAAAUGGUGAGGUAGUAGGUACUCAUUUGUGGGUGCUAUAAUCUGUGCUGGCAAUAUUAAAUCUCAAGAAUAUGGAGGAGAUUAUUUGCAUGAUGACAUGACCACCCUCAAGUUCACAAUCAGUUACUAGUCUGUUCUGCGUGUAACGUCUUGGAUGUAUGCUUACAACAUAUUCCCACUCCUGUACAGAUGAUUUCUAAGUGGAGAUGCACUUUCUUUUCUUCCUAACUUUUGUUUGAAUAUCUUGUGCUAUUAUUUUGUCUAUAUUAUAUCUGAUGAAAUCCUCCACAUUAUUUUAGGAAGUUCAACAACUUUAAGGCUUUGGAUUGUUUGUAAGAAAAACUUGAGUAAAUGUAUUUGUAGUCAUCAAUUCUUAUGGUAGCUUAAACAGUUUCUACAGCAUAGAACCUUAAUCAUGUGGUACCACUCCAUAACUCUUCUUCACUAGAAAGUCUCUGCAGAUUUAUCUGUAAUAAUCUUUUUAUUUAAAUGUAUGAUCCUAUAUGUUCUAUUGUUGUAGUUCCCUAGGCAUUGACUAUUCCCACGAAAUUGAGGUCUAAGUGGGAAGUUCAGUAACAUGAGAAAUGGGCAGCCUGGCAGCCGUUAAAACUUUCAUUUGCUUAGAUGAUAUUUUAAUCAUUUGAGGCAUGAAGUACAUGUUCUUCGGUUUUAUUGUCUUCUGUCCCUGUCUGUUUUGAUCUCAAUGCCAUGGAAACCCCAUUUUUAUAGCCCAUGAUAACAUUUUCAAUGUAUGCACUUUCUUUUGAUGGAAUAGUGAAUGAUAUGGAUGGGGAAACAUAAUGCAGGUCUUCAAAAGUGUUCCAAGUUCUGUAAGAAUUGACAUAAGUAACAAACCAGAAAAUUUCUCUAUAAAUUGACCCAAUACAAGGAAUGAAACAUUCUGUAAUCUGUGAAUUACCACUGUUGUUUGUGUUGUCAUUUUCCUUUGCUUUCUACCUGUUCUCUGGCGUUUCUGUUAGCACUUUCUUGGUUCCCAACCAUUGCUUUCAUGCAAUCCUUGUGACUAUUUGAAUGGUGUGAUAUCACUUGACUUUUUACCCACUCUGGACCUCUAUUAUUUUUGUUUGUGGACUAUGCAAUACCUUGAGAUGCCAUAGGCUCCAACUAUCAUGUCUUUAGCAUUGAAAAUAUAUUUGGUUUCUUUUUUCACUGUUCUGUCUUAUGAAUAUCUCACUUUCUGGUAUGACUUUCUGAAGAAAACACAAAAACAAAUAGUUGUUGCAAAAGGAAAGUGAAAUCUGGAGUGAUGAUACACUUUUGAAUGUAUCAAAAUAUUAUGAAAUUUAGAAUGUAUUAUCUGCUAAUAUGACAACAUGGGACAUCCCGUAUUGAUAGAAAUUUUGAUGGAUGUAAGCUUCUUAAUGUUUUUUCCAAAUGUCAGGGGCGUUUACUUGAUGGGGUUAUCAUGAAUGGAUGGGUGGGACCCAAGUAACAUUGGGGAUUGAAAAAAAAAUAAAAGGAAGAAAAACAACCAUAGUCAUCCUGCAAAUAACUGUGCAUUAAUUGAGAAAUGAUGAGGUUUCCUCAAGUGGAGGAAUGCUGUUUCAAGAGAUAGAUGACAAGAUCAGCACCCAUAACCAACCCAUGAAUUUCAUGCUCCCAUACACUUCUCCCAAGUCCCACCACAUCCCUCUCUGGUCUCUGGGUCAGCACUAAAUUCCCAUUUUCCGUCUUCCAGAGAGAUGAGAUGAAUGAUGAGGAUGGGCUUCUGAUCACGAGGACUGUGCUUUAGUCGUUAUGGGAUAAAAUAAUUGGAGGCAAAAAAUAACCGCCUCUGGAUCCCUCCUAACAUUAUCCUACAUGGUAACGUCCAUGUUGGUACGUCUGUUCUCCAUUAUCUUGCAAGAAGUCUCUUCUCAUGCUAACCAUGCAGCUCACCCUCCUGCCAUUUCACAUCCCUUAAACUAUUUAUAAUUACUUCACAGCUCUCCCCUCUGUCUAUCUUUCAAACGUUUUCUGUUUUGGAAAAUGGCUAAGGAAGAUGGUGAUGAGACAAGGCUGUAUCAGUGUGUGAGGAAGUAUGAAUUAAUGGUAAAACAGGUGAUUCCAUGCCUCUUGCAUCAAAUAUGCUACACCACACUUGAUAUGCUUCUACAUUUUAUUUUGAUUUUCCUUUCUUCUAGUUUUAAAGAAGUGAUACGUUAAAUGACAUGAAAAUAUGACAUAUAGUCAUAACCAAUGGUUUUGGUUGAAAAAGGUAAAACACCACGCUAAAUGAGUGGGGUGGCGAUGGGCUGAUUAGAAUUGUGGACAUUCUGUAUUUUCAGUUUGAUGAGCUGAUUGACAUGAUGAACUCUAAAAUAACAAAACUGCCAAAGAGGCGGAAGGUGUCCUCUGUGAGUUCUUCUAAACAACCAACCUUUUCUUCAAAAUGAUGUGUGUGUUGUAUAUAGCAUCAUGUUUCUUUCUUAUGUGAUAAUCCAUCCUGAUGAUGUACAUAUAUUUUUAAACCUUUGUAGAGUACAGCAGUCCCUGCUGCUUCCGCAACUCAACCUGACAGCAAUGAAGCAUUGGCGCAGACCAUCACCAGAUUUCUCCAUGAGUUGAGCCCUAACCCCACUGAUCCUAAUUGCUCAGCAAACACCCAUGAUAGUGAUCCCCGGUAAUUCUCCUCCCUUGAAUGUAACUAUUAACUGUCGUUAACAUGACAGGGGAAAAUUGUUGUCAACUUCUAACUGAUUAUUGUACGUUUAUGGCCUAAAGACUGAUGAUAAGUGUGAACGAAUUACAGUAGUUAUAGACGGCUUGGACCUUGAAAAUUUUAAUAUUUUCUUCUUAAGAAAAAUGUCGUAAAUUGUUUGGUCAAUUUAUAAUCGUCAUUAGCCAGUACUAAUCCUGAAGUUAUAAGCAACGUACGUUUAUUGGAUAUGAGCUGGAUCAACAUGUCCGUUAAUCAGGUCGGAACUCAAAUUUAAGCCUAAAACAUUUAAUCCAAGUACAACACGACCCACUAAAACAUUGAAUUAGAGUCCAAAUGAUUUCGAAUAGGAACACUCUCCAAAUACACUUUUAAGCAGGGUUGGGCAAGGCCUGCCCUAUUGAUCUGCAGCUAUAGAUUUCAGGUUAAAAAAGCAAGUGAGAAUAAACUAUAGGGAGCUUCAUUUCUGUAAAACACACAUUUUCCAGCUCUAAAUUCAUGGAGGUUGAAAGAUGACUGAUUUCUUGAUUGAAAAAAAAAAGGAGAAAGGAAUUUGCUUUCUUGGAGGGAAAUAGAGUAAAGAGAAACUAUGUGCAAAACAACCGCCAUUGCCGAUACAUGAACUCCUUUUAUAGCUAAGAAUUGGUGACAAAUAAUUGUAAAGAGUAAUAAAAGUUCGGGAGUACGUGUAUCUUGUCCGAGAAAAAACCAUUUUUAUGGCAAAAUUGACCAGGAUUGACAAGCUCAGUCGGUGAAAAUUGAGCUCAGGAAGUAUUUGUCCCUGAGGAAAAAAAAGGCCAUUUCGUUCAAGAAUGGAGAGCAAUAACACCAGUUGACCAUGUGAAGGGGAAGCUUGUAUGCAGAACUCUCUUGAACCAGACACCGAAUUUUGAUUAUCAGUUAAAUCUAUUGUAAGCUGCACUUCAACUUCUCAGCUUCAAGCUCUUGUUUUAAAGAUUCCACCCGCUCUAGCAAGGCCAUGUUUUCCUGGAAAUGUUAGGAAUAGUAAGCCAACUAACCUGGAUUCAAAAUUGAACAUGACUACCAGAUUGUCACUCAGAAAUAUUCAGUAGAAAAGAAACAUUGUAUUUUAAAGGCAAAUCAACAAUUGCUCCUGUUAACUGCAAAUGUUUGCUAAGCUCUGUUUAUCUGAAUCAUUUUAUGAGAGACUGGCUCUCCUUAUGGUUAUUUGCAUAAUAGAAAUGAAUCAUCCUAACAUAAUAGUAUAAUACAAUAAAAACCAGGCAGAAAAAAGCCUAUGAGAAAUGAAUCAUUGGAGAGAGGUUUAAGACAGUCACCUUUUGCAGCAUUGCCAAUUUCUGGUUUGUGCUAGCAGCAUCCUCUACCUUCUUCUCAGAGGAUUCCUUAACCUGUCAAGGGAAAGCAUGCUCAUUCAAUCCUCAAGAGAAGCAAUCCAAUUUCACCACUUACAGCCUUUGUAAGGGGUCAAGUAAAUCCAUCAUUCUAUUAUAUUUCACUGCUUUAUAAGAGUAAAAGAUAGAAGAAAAGGGGGAAGCUAUCAGUUUUCAACAGGCCAAUUUUUUCUUAAAACUCCACCUGCAUAGGAGUUCCAAACACAACUGAGUAGUUACCAACCACUCCAGUACCUGAAACCUCACGUAUGUUGGCAAAGCCAUCUAUACUGCAGAUCUAUGUUCCAUGGUUUCAGAUGCAGAUGUUGGCUGUGGAAAUUUGUCCAGGUGUUUGAUCCUACAUGCUUCCAAUUUUAGGAUACAGGAACUCGACCAAAAAGGAUCUUAAUAGUAGUUGCAAGUACUUGGAUAUGACAAAACAAAAGGGAAAAAGAUUAAAACAACAAAGAUUCUAGACAAAAAAAUCAGCAUCUUUUCUCUCUUAUUACUACUAUCUUUUUGCUCUCAUCCCUAAAUAUUCUUUUAAAAAAUUACUUUCCAGUAAACUCUCUGUUUCUACUUAAGAAAGUUAAAGGUUAAGAAAUUAAUUAAAAUCAAACAGUCAUAUAUGAAGCAAAAACAGGAGUUCAACAAGGAUUCUAUAGCCACACAGCCAUACCCAUGUCAUGUUGUGUCGAUGUGAAUUCAAGACUCUGAGUAUCAUAGCUGCAGAUUCACCAGAUCUCUGAGCAUUAAUCUAUUUAACAAUGUCGUAAGCAGCCAUUUGCUAGUCCUAGGAGAACAUCUGACAAACUUUCUAAAACUUCCUCUAAGCAGUAGUGCUAAACCCUUCCUAUACCAUCUUUUUUAGCUUCAACUCCAAAUGCAUUAGUUUUAGCAUAAACACAUGAAAAAUAAAUUAUACAUCAUAUUGAGAUAAUACCUUAAAAUAAUACCCACAUUAGAUGAAACAACACAUUCAUUUACAGGAAAUCUCAACAACUUUUCAAACCAGGACUUAUACAAACAGGAACAUAUCAAGUGCCGAAUAGUAGGCACCAAUGCCACAGAAAUCAAUAAAGUAGUCAACAGAAACCACUGAUUACUUCUAUCAUACAACCCAGUGACUCUAGCCAUCAAAGAAAAAAAAAAAAGCUGCAUAACAAUAGAAUAGAAUAGUCAAAAGUGAUAGAAGUAUAUUUCAUGAAAAUGAUACAAGGACCGGGAUAGAAGCAUCACUGUUAAAGUUAAAUCCUACAAGUUAAUCCAUGGUAUCCUAGAGUUACAAAAUCCUGUAAAGUAAGAUGGAGAAAAAAUUAAAAAGAGAAAGAAAAAACGAAAGAGAUUGACAUAUUAUGGUAUUAUCCAAUCAUCAGAAAAAUGUUGAUGACUACUCAAGGAGAAUAAGUUUAGAUUCUCAAAUUAAACAAUUGAGGAGAAGUUAGUGAACUACUACUGAAGCACUGUGUAGCUAGCCUUGUGAAAUACUCAUACUCUCAAGCCACCAUGGGGCCACAUAACCAGGGCUGGUAACUUUUGAAAUUACCUGAAAACGACCCUAAUAAUUUGCAUUUUUGCAACAAACUAAUUAAGAAAGUAGGUUAAAUAACAAUUUUUAUAGGCUUGAAGUAUUAAACAUGCUAAAUGGAUCAUAAAUAUGUAAGUAGGUCAUAACUUAUUUGGUCAAAACAUAAGUUAGUGGGUUAUGUAGAUCAACUUCGACAUAUUUGACCUAAUCCAAUUCAGCAUACCAUACUUAUUAAAUGGGUUCUAGAAGUCAUGUCAGGUCACCUAUAUAAUAAAUGGAUCAUUUGAUCUUAUUGGAGGAUUCUAUCCCAACUCUAACAUGAUUAUUGAAACGAUUGCAUUUAGGUUGAGCAGAUUUUUAGACAAUCUUACUUGAGACGACCCAUUGCCUCACCUAGAUAUAACCCAGCCUAGCAAAAGGGUAUAAGUACCUCUUUGAUUAUUUACAUGUGAAUUGAUCAUGAUUGCUUUACAAUUGAAGCAUUACAGGUCUGAUCUCCUUUUGGGAAUCAAAAUCCUAUUACACAGACACUCGAACUACCCUUUCAACAAAUUGUAACUACAUGAUCAAAGACAUGCCUCUUGCUAACAAUUCUUUGGGCAACAACGCUGAUAAAAUCUGACUACCUCCAUCCCAUAGUAUGAUAUAACCAUACUAUUAAUACCAUUUUAUCUAGUUACAUAUUUAAUUAUAUUAACAUAGAUAAAAUGUUGAGAAAUUUCCCAUGAAUCUGCAGGUUUUAAUAUAAACCUAAAACAAGUAGCAGACAAGUUUAGUACUGUAAAACAUUCCAAACUAAUAGGACAAACUGGUAAAGAAAUAUCAUUAAGCUAAUUAGGAAAAGCACAUACCUUUAUCAAUUCAUUUAGACACUUGGUAGCCCUCUCUACUUCCUCAUCAUAUUUCAGUCUCCACUCUGCAGAUUCAUCCAUUGCUUCCCUAUUAGCAAGAUCAAACUGUCUUCUGCAAGUGUGAGUAAACAGAAAAAUUAUUUCGUCGAAAUUAAAAAUUAUUCCCAUUGGAACUUGAACCACGAAUCUCCCACAAGCCCUCCCUAACCCUUUACCACUUGAGCCAAACAACAAAGUACAUAAUAUUGCAAAAAAAAUGAUUUUAUUCCUCAUAGGCAAAGCUAUGAGGAAGGUAUUCAAGCUGAGGCAGAGACUCAAAUCCUAUUCUGGAGUAUAUCCUCCCCAACCCUCAUCAAGAGACCUUCUAAACUAGCAAACAUUUCCAAAAGUGCACAGACAGAGACCAUUAGCUAUGAAAAGACCUCAUCCAGCAUAAGAUAGAGACUGCAUUGUUUCUAUCAUACUUUCUCAUAUAAGAGACUCCAUUUGACUAGACCAUGUUUCCAUUAACACUCUGAGAAUUACAGGAAAACCCAAUUACAAUGGGAACCUUGUGUUUCCUUUCAAAUGUACAGUUUAAUACCAAAUUACAUGGGAACCUACGUUAUUUCCAACAUCAUAAUAUAAACUUGUAUUGUGUGUGUGUGAAAAUUUUAUUUCCAACAUCAUUCAUUUUGAACAAACUUUAACUCACCGAACACCAAAAGGGUGGGAGAAAGAAACUGAAAAACAUCACACCUCCUCUUGGAAAUAAAAGUCAUGCAAUGUAUAGUAAGGCCGUACACAUAUGACAUAUCUUUUUCAAUCUAGUAUAGGCAUAUUCCUAGAUACAUGGUGAAGGAACCCAUUCUAGAACUGAAAUCAGUACUCAUUUCAAGCAUUUCCUUUCACACGGUAAUGAUUUUGAAAUAUGAGGAGUUCUGUAAGAUAACAUGGAAAAGCAAUCCAUGAUCUCUAUAAUGAUUCAUACGAUUCUUCAAAGAAUCAAAAACUGUAAGAGACAGCAUUAAAAACCUGAAUCAAUAAAUCUCCCAUUUCUAAAAACCUGAAUCAAAAACUGGAAAAACACAAUCAUUUCUUUUCUCAUAAAUCUCACUUGUUGUAAAAUAAAAUAAAAUAAAAUAUUGAAAAUCAUGACCAGUACUUAAUCAAUAAAGUCCCAUCUCGUCAAAAAAAAAAAAAAAAGAGAAUCGAAUCUACACUUUAUCUGUCCUGGGUUUCGGAAGAUUGACUCAGCUCAGCUAAACCAAAUAGCAUAGCUUGAAUGGACUUCCCUAUUCUCUUUUAUUCUUCUAAAAGAUUUUCUCAUCAACCAAACAGAUCAAAAGGGGCUUUUCCUUUUACUGAAAAAUAAAAUAGCCCUAGAAUUGAAAAAAAGAGAGAAAAUUGAAACAAACCUCAAAAUCUCGGUUUCAUCGGAAGAAAUGGUAUAAUCAAUGGUCCAGAGCCUGAAGUAGAUGGCGCAACCCAAUACCAUAACCAACACCAAACCAACCAGAAUAGGGCUUCUUCCCCCCAUUUUCUCUCUCUACCUUCUCUUUCUCUAGAUCAACACCGACAUCGCAGCCGGCUACCAUUUGGAACACAUCCAAACAGACCUUUCUCCGGGUUCAAAUCCAGUGCAUCGCUGCCCUUUCCAACUUAUUACACCUUCCUUCCCUUGCUUUUGGGAUUUUUCUCAAUUUAUCCCCUAAACCCUUUUUUUUU